ACAAAACAAGUACAUUGAAUUUCACAUAGGAAAAACAACGUAAACAGUUUUGCACGAGGGCAUAUCACAAGAACGAAAAUUUAAAUCUAACUAUUACAACAUUGGGCAAACACAGUGCCACUCCGCUAAUGGUUGCUCUGCAAAAACAGAGGGUGAGAAAAGAAGUUCCCAGUAGGUUUGGCCGCUGACCUUUUUCUUUGACCUCAUAACCCAAUCUUGCCGGCUCAUGCGAAGUCAAGCCAAACUCACAAUACCAGGGCCCAUGGGGACUAUCACUAAUCUAGGGCGGUCUGCUAGGUAGAUAACCCAUGGUGUGACUACUCCGGAGCUCUGGUGUCGCGACCACUAACAAGCCGAAUGGACAAUGUGAGUAUGAUCCAGUCCUCUCAUCUCAAGAACACCCUACUGACCAAGGUAACAACAUCAGGGAAUCUACCAAUCCCUAGCAUGGUCCAGAGGAUCUAUUUCACUCUCUCGUAUGCUCGUCUCAAAUCUUGUGUAACUACGGCAAUAAACCCACAUUUACAAUCACGACACACAAUGUUCAUAUUUUUCACUUGCACAAUAGGAUACCCAAUCCAUAUGUCCAUCACUAGGUUCAUGUUUAGACUCACAAUGAUAUCUAGUAUCUCACUUUGUUUUCUAUGUCCAAAUAACUAGUCAAGAUGCCACCAAUGUUCCAUAAUGUUUUCUAAGUUCACAUUCUAGUUCAUUGCAUUCAUAGGGUUUCCAAUGUCCACUAACCCAAUCCUCAUGCAUCCAAGUAUCGAGUUUUCAACCCAAUUUAAUCAACCCUACUUUAGGAAGCAUGCAAGGAAAAUUUAAAGUACAAACACAAUAAACCCUACAAUGCAUGAUUUCUACAUAUAUAUAUACACAUAUGAUCAAUAAUGGCAACAUAGACAUACGAAGAAAUCCAACCAUUUCGGAUAGCACCACCCACCUCAUGUCGACGUAUAGAAGCGAGAAACUAAGCCUCGUGAUUUAUCGUUGUCGAUUCGGCUCGACACAAGCCUAACAAACGAAAAUCGGCAAAAUCUCCUAAUCGAACGCCGUAACCUCGUCGUAAUCCAAAUCAAAGUUGUUCCCCACGUCGAUUUAUCCUUCAAUUACAGAUUUAAAAUGUCAAUUUGGUUCCAAAUCUCAUAGGGACAAAAGCCCCAAAUCCAAACCCUAGGUUUCUUUAUCCUCAAGAAAACCCCACAAAUCAUAGUGAAUCCUUUAAUUAAACUAGUUUAGAAUCAUCUAGGGUUCUCAAAUACAUCAAUUUUAAAGGAUUCAAUCCAAAGCCUAACUCAAAUCCAUGAAAUCUCACCUUGGCCAAAUAGCACUCCAAGCUUGAUCCACCAUUAGAGAGCUUGCUUCAUCACCAAGCUUCUCCAAGCUUGCUCUCCACCAAGUCCUCCAACCUAGAGAAAGGAAGAGGGAGGUGUUUGAGAGAAGGAGAGAAGGGUUUUACCCUUUCUCUCAUGUGUGGGGGUGAGGGAAAUGAGAGAAAAAGGUUGUGGGGACCCAUUUAUAACGCUCUAACAGCGCAGGGUCCGGACCUUGGGUUCAGGGUCCGGAACCCGUAGCCAUUUCAGCAUUCUACGCAACCAAGGUCCGAAUUGUACGGACACGUCCAAACCUUGAGACUGUGAAUAGUAUUUUCAUCCUUUUUAUUUUCUUCUCAUUUUCGCUCUAAAACUCCGAUUUUCAUUCCGUUUUCUCUUCAAAUCAAAUUCAGCACAACCAAAACUCUCUCUACACAUAUGAAACACUUCCAAAGUUAGAGAAGUAUAAUUUUUUCUUCCAAACAUCAUUAGAUUUUGAAAUGCACUCAUUUCUCAAAAGUAUUCAUUUACUUCCAACUUUCUUCAAGUUGCAUUGAUACUUCUUCUAAUCGUUCCGACGCCCUCGAAACUUCACAUGGACCUCACAAAAUCCUUCCUCGCCGCUCUUUGGCCAAUUUGGUCAAAGUCCAACAAAACGUAUUGGGGAUUCGGUAUAUUACAUUCUCCUCCCCAUAAAAUAUUUUCGUCCGCGAAACUCAAAUUCAUACCUCAGCUCGACGGAAGAGGUGAGGACAUCACUCCACAUCAAGUUUUGAGUUCCCAUACGGUCUCAUUCAUCAGUGCUACCCCACAAAUCUUUAUCAUACAGAAUCACACAAUUUUGUAAUUCCUUCUCGAGAGCUAGAAUACACAUCGAGAACUCCCGCAAUUUUCAUAUUUGCCAAUUACCAUCUGCAUAGCUUUUCCUUGUUGUGCUUGCACCGUCAAUACCCGUUGACGUGCAACUUCACUAAGUCCACUUUAUACUACAUUUCCUGUGCUCUUAAAACCACACGCACAUUCACAGUGCAACCUUCUAUGUCGGAACUGCCUUUGCCGCCUUGUGGUAUGGAUCGGCCACCACCGUCUGUAUCUCAACAGGGUAGGUCCUCCCUUACUCCAUAAGGCCUCAAAGGUGUCACAUCAUGCCCCACUCCGAGCAUCCUCAUCAUAGGUGAACUUUGCCCACAGCUAGAACUAGUGCUAUCGGAUUCACAACUCCAAAUCCUUUUACUUAACAAGCCCAUUGUUUUGGCUCGUUAAAGAGUCUACAUUAUACAGUACGAGUCUUUCCUCACAUCCACCAUUCUAAUCCGGAGCCCAAUUUGGUCCAUUCUCCGGUAUUGCUCACUAGCAAUUCUCACUUGGUGUUUCCUUUCAUUACGAGUGGAUCCUAUCACACAUAGAUUCCCAACUCCGCAAUGACAUGGCUCAUCCUCAAGCACUUGCUCAUUCCGAAUCACAAUCCUCAUUUCACAUGUGGUUUCUACUAUCCCAACGUCUCACAAGGAGCACGUUGCACCACUUCCACAUGCCAUAGGUUGGCAUCUUGCCAUUCUUAUGACAAGCCCAUAGGGAUCCCAUACCCAUAACUCCAACUUCGCUUUCGCGAUAACACUAGGUCCUGCGGUUUGGUGGCUCUAUCAAUCAGGCGAGUGACAUGAUUGGGCCUUUGCCCCUUUGGUCAAUACCCUCAACCUUCUCGCACGCCACUAAUGCUCUCCUUAUUAGAGCCCUCAGCUAACCUAUCUAAUCCAAAUUGCCAUGGAGGGUCCACCGACCGACCGUGCAACAUUUCUUACUCUCAUGUGCAAUGUCUAAAGUCUGACGUUGUCGCAACAUCAUGCAAUGUCUCUCACUCUCAUGUGAGGACCCAAUUAUCACAUGGUGGAGUCCCUAUUAUGACCUCGCAUCAAAACCCCAACAAGGAGUAACUACAUCCCAAGUCAUUGUGAUCCUUUGGCCAGUUCGCAUCUACACUCUAGGUGUACUAACAAACCCACAAUUCCACACGUGGCACUCCACGUCUCUGGGCCAUCGCUUGGACUACCGUCCAAACCGUAAAUCCUAGCCAAGCCCUACCCUCAGGUUCAAAGCUGCCAUCACAUGAUAUCGACUACGCCUGUCCAUAAGGCCCCAGGCCCACAGUCCACACAUGGUUCAGGCGUGAGUAAUCCUCAAGCAAUACCCACUAACCAUCACCACGUGACCAAGGCGCCCUUGGCGCAAUAUGCUCUGGCCAUCCAAUACUUAGGUAUUCACCUAAAACUUCACCUCACAAGGAGGAUUAUCAAUACGAUCCGAACACUCAUAUACCAAGCUUAUGUUUCCUUAACUGAGGCUCCGCUCUACUGAGCACACGUCCGCCGAUCACUAGGCACCCAUAAGGGACUACCAACCUCUCGAGCGGUCCUCGGCAUCCUUCACACUUGGCCAAUGCCCGAGUGCUACUGACAAUGAACCCCCAACGGUUGAACCUUCAGUCCGUGCCGUACAACAACUCUGCAGUUGAGCAUACUAUGCCUCUACUUUAUCCCGUGUUAGACAUAAUCACCGAGCAAUGCUGUCUCAUCAUCCUUUACCAACCAUAGGUGCUCCCUCAUUUAAGCCGCUACAUCUCAAGGCUAACUCAUCCAGAUUUAGCAGUCAUCGUACCAAUUCUAUAGCAGCGAAAUAAUUCCCAUUACCAAACUGCCCAAGGGUUCCAAGAUUAGAGUACAACCUAAGUCGUUACUUCUUCAUACGCGGUCGCUAUCGUGUCCAUGAAGAUUUCAUAUCCCUCAUUUACUUUCCCUUUAUUUCAAUUACUUAAGAUUACCAUCUCAGGGAAGGAUUCUCUCAACCACCAUAACCUCUCUCCAUUACCAUGGCUUCAAAGCUAUUGAAUAUAUCCAUUACAAAUCCAAAUGUUCCUAAGCUCAGGCUCAGCCUAGAGCUAGCACAUCACCAAGUUCUACCUUAGGCCCUGUUUGGAUGCGAAGUAAAAAAGUUCCAUGGAGUUUAAAUACCGUAAUUUUGGUCCAAAUGAAAUGGAGAAUCCUGUAACUCCAAAAAAAAAUUCCACGGGUUUAUUUUAAAAGCUUUUUGGAUACACAUUAUACAAUUCUACAGGAUUUCUGACAAUCUUAAAAAAUUAACAUUGAGGGAGUUUAAAGUUAAAUUAUUAGCUAUUAAAUGACUUUAAAUCUAAAAAAAAAAAAAAAAAAAAAAAAAAAAAAAAAAACUAGCUGUUGGAGAGCUCAAAAAUCAAAAAACUAGCCGUUGGAGAGAAGUAUUAUGCUUCUCAUGCCAUCCAAAGUCUAUUUAAAGGAACCAAGUUAUUACAAUCACAUACCUAAGAAUUAUUACAUUCUCUUCUCUAUAUCUCUAUGACUGGAAACUAUGGAUAAUAGUAAUCUCGCACUUCUUCUUUUGAAGAGAAGGGAAGAAGAGGAAUUUGAGUUCAUGAAUUUCGUUCAUCCAAUAACAAACAGUGGUGAUAUAUCAGAGAUAAGACGUAUUCACACAUCUAUUCUUACUGGCGCAAUGUAUGUUUAAGAAGUUCUUAAAGGCCAUGAUGAACGAUGCAAAAGAGAGUUUCAAAUGGAGACUCAUGUCUUCAAAGCGCUGGUCAAAUGUUUGAAGGAUAAAAGACUUAUUUUAGAUACAAAAUAUGUCAGCGUGGAGGAGCAGGUAGCCAUGUUUUUAUUUAUCUUGUCUAAAAAUGCAAGCAAUCAUACCAUACAAGAGAGUUUCCAACAUAGUGGUGAAACAGUAAGCCGUCAUUUUCGAGCGGUAUUAGAAGCAGUUACUAUACUCACUGAAGAUUUAAUUCAAGGACCAUUGGCAAUCACUCCAUUGAAUAUCCGAUGGAACAGCAAGUUUUAUCCUUAUUUUGAGGUAAUGUGAAUUGCUCACUUGCUUUAUUAAUUUAAUUCAACUAUCAUUGCAAUUCAUCAAUAAAUUAAUUUGUAAUAUUCCAAUUGACUUCAUUAACUUUUAUGUCAAAUGUAGGAUUGUAUUGGGGCUAUUGAUGGAACUCACAUUCCUAUAUCAAUUGCCACGAGCUUACAAGAACCAUAUCGUAAUCGAAAACAAACAUUAUCUCAAAAUGUUAUGGUUGCAUGUGAUUUUAAUCUUCGUUUUGUUUAUGUAAGAGCUGGUUGGGAAGGUUCAGCAUCAAAUGCGAGGACAUUACAAGACGCCUUAAACAAUGGUUUUACAGUUCCACAUGGAAAAUAUUAUCUAGUUGAUGCAGGUUUUGCUAACACACCAAGCUUUAUUGCUCCAUAUCGCGGCAUACGAUAUCAUUUAAGAGAGCAAGGUGCAGCUAAUGAGAAGCCAAAGGAUUAUAAAGAAUUAUUCAAUCUUCGUCAUUCACAACUCAGAAAUCAUGUCGAACAUAUUAUUGGAGCUGUAAAAAUACGUUUUUCAAUUUUAAAGAUAGCUACAUAUCAUUUUAUCGAUAAUCAAACUGACAUUUUGAUGGCUUGUUGUGUAUUGCAUAAUUUUAUCCGAAAUCGUAAUGGAAUGAAAGAAAUUGCAAAAAAAAUGUGAAGAAAUUGCAAAAAAAAUGUGAACCGAUUAUAUAGUUAGACACCAAUUCAGGAGGAAUUCUUGAUUGUUACUGAAUAUUAGACAUAUAUGUAUUUUUCAUGAACAUGUAUCAUGGAGUUGUAUCAUGGAGUUGUAUGACAAUAUUAUAUAUGAAUAUCAUUUCUACUUAUAAAUUCAAUUAAAUAUUUUUUUUUACUAUGUACGAAAUAUACCAACAAAGUCAACCACCACCUGUAAGGACUGAGUUUUUGGCAGUGCAACUUAACUCUCUAUUGACGAUGUUCCUCUGUGUAAUUUAAUUACAUAAGCACUCGUCAAGUUUCAGGAGAAAAUGAGCUAAAAUGAAGAAGAUACGCGAUUAAUAGUUUUUACUUAAGUGAAUAGUAACUCCGGUUUUUCGGAGAAGACACGGGGUAGAGUUGGCUUUCGGCGCGUAUCAGACUCCGUUCAUAGCGAUGCAAUAGCUCGUUUCGAUUGGUUCAGCUAUUUUGGAACCAAUGGUACUGACGGAUUUUAGAUCUAAUGCACGGUUUCCGAGAAAAAGGAGUUUUAUCAAAAAAAGGGUUUUCACUCUUUGCUAUUCGUGCAUUCUAAAGCUCCUCGUGCUCCCUGCUUGUGACCUGGAGUAGGGUGAAGAAUAUUUCGGGUCCCUACUAGUGGUAGGGAAGUCGAUUUCAAUUGCGAAACUUGGUUUAAUUGGUUUACACAUUGGUAUUUGUGAGAUAUAUGUAUUAGUUAGAGAGCAGAUGGGUUUCGUCAUGAAUCUGUGACCAAAUCUGAUGAAACAAGAUUGUAGUUUUGAUGCCCCUGACGUGCUGAACCCGAUGGUGCUGUCGGAUCGAAAAUCCGACAUACAGAUCUCCAGUAUUUGCAUAGUUUUCGCUUAGAGGUCAAAAUUAGCAAAACGGAGAAAUUGCGAAAAGAUCUAACAUUUUAUGUCCCGUUUCGCGAGAUUUCGAGCGUCGGGGUGCGUACUCGCAUAUUACACGCACGGGCAGGGACCGGGUUAAAAAUAUUUGUCUUUGGAGGACUAAGCGGCAAUUAAACCUCGAUGUAUAUAUAGUAGCUUUAGGGUUUCCCAUGUGAAACCCUAACCCUAAUCCAUCCCUCGGCUAACACUAGCACUCCUAGUCGCCUCAGCUCUCCCUGUCCACCCCGUGCGCAUGCCCCGGCCGCCGGCGAGCAUCCCCGGCCACCGAAAACCUGGAUCGGCCUCUCCUCCACCAUCCUCUCCACCUAGCCACCACCUUCCUCAACCCUUGAGCUCAGAUGGCACCAACUCGUGACUAAGCCCCUUCCUCUGGCCGAGGCCCAUCUCCGGUACCGUCGCCGCCGGCCUCCGCCGUCCCCGUGCGCCGCCGAAGCCGCUCUAGUUUCCUGCGGCUAACAGCAGUCACCCAGGCCGAGCCUGGGUGAUCUCUGCCUCCUCGCGUCGCCGCUGCUUCCCGCCGGCCGCGCCGCUCUCCUAGCAUCUCCGACGACGUCCGACGCCCCUCCCCGUCGUCCCCGGGCACCGUCGACCGCCGCGCAUGAACUCUGGGGCCGCCUACUCCAGCCCGGGCUGAGGAAUGGCCGCAUCUCCUCCCCCACGUCGCCGCUGACAAGGAACACAUCGCUGACCUCCCUCGUGAACGAAGGCACCCCCACGUCCGGCCAGAUUAGCCGCCGUCGCGGCCGCACGCCUUGGGCGCCGCCGCUGCGACCUUCUGCUGAGCCGAGCUCGGGUGGCCGCGCCUGAGCUGCGAGCCACCGCCGCCUUCCGCCGCCGAUUAGCGUGAGCGCCGGCACUCCCAGGCUGGCCGCAUUCGUCCGCAACCGGCUCCCCGUCGCCGGAGCUCCGCCACCGGCCGAGCUGGAGCCGAUCUCCCCACCACUUCGUGCGGCUAGGGCAUCAAUGCCCGUCACUGCCGCUGCCUCCUGACGCCGGCUGACACUCGCCCCGGCAUCCCUCCGUCGCCCGUACCCGCCUGCCUUCGGCGCGCCCGCCGUCCGGCCGCCGCCGGCCAAGUUGUGCAAGCCCUGCUCCGGUGAAUGUAAUUAGUACUGUUUCUGCGCACUGUUUAAGGUUCGGAUCGCGGUUCCGGUGAUCCGAAGGCACCCCGAUGAUGAAGAAAGUGAGCACGAUCAUUGUAUUUCUGUGCUGAACAUCAUGCUCCCAUUCGUUUAGGUCUGAGAUUCCCUGGUUAGCGAGUUCGACGCAAUUUAUGCGCUGUGCGUGCUGUUUCACUGACUUUCGCGUCGCUCGUGCUUGUGCCACAGUAGCCGGAAGUGCUCCGAAAGGUGAGCACGGCCUCUAGCACCCCGAGACCUGUCAACGGGUGUCUCGAUUCAGCUAAAUAACUCUCAGGUCGCGCUCGCGAGUCAUAAAAGCCCCGAAAUCACAUAAAAUAAUGUGAUUUUGGGUAAUCGGGUGGGCUUUUAUGCAUUUUGGUUCGUCGUGGCUGCUGUUGGUGCUUCAUGAUGAUUAUUUAUGUAUAGUUGUAGCGAGUGACUCGUUGCACGAGUCGGUGUGUUCCGGGACAGUUCGUGGAUCCCGAUGGAGUCCCGGUGCGAUUUUCGGGACUUCCGACGAGUUACGGUAGUCGAUUUUGGGAAACCGAUCUCCGUGGCAUUAGUUUGUGGGAUGUGGAGUCAGUGGUUAUUAGUGGUGGGCUAGACACUAACCCGGUGGACCUUCCUUAGGUCCGGUUGACAUUCUUUUGUAGUCAGGAGACAGACGUGACAUCCUUACAGGUGGGUACUUCGAUCCGACGUCGGUACAGUGGUGCACGCUCGGUGAUGGUUUCUUACCUUUACUCUUCUGUUGUUACUAUUGCAUAGUAUAUUGAGCCUUGCACCCAUGUUAUUCCAUUAUACUCUGCUCGCUGUUUGCAUGCUUAGUAUCCUGAGUAGGAGUAGAGUAGUUCUAUCUAUAUGCAUAUCUGUUGACCUGGUUGGUCGGUUGUUGCAUUCCGUAUCUGUUAACCUGGUUGGUCGGUUGUUGCAUUCCGUAUCUGUUGACCUGGUUGGUCGGUUGUUGCAUUCUGUAUCUGUUGACCUGGUUGGUCGAUUCUCGUACUUCGUAUCAGUGACCUUGCUGGUCGGUUGGACUUUGUGGACAUUGGGUCCAGGCAACACAUCGACUCUCUCGUCAUGUGUUUCGAUCUGGUUGAUCGAGGUUUGGCGUUGUACGCCCUUGUUUCUGACUUCGGCCUAAGCACCGGCUUCUGCCGGUUUUUGUAUUAAGCAUACCAGCAUGACUUAGUCACAGCACUUGGGGGUAUUCAUGACACCAGGUCGAUUUGGCCACCGACCGGAGGUGUGCUUAUCCGGAUGGGUCGUCCUGUGGGGCGGGUGAAUCAGGUCGGUGCAAAUCAGUGACAGGCAGCGCUUAAGGUCUGCGGACCAAUAUAGCAGGCACCAGAUUGGGUACAGUUUUGGUUUGGUUACCUUGAGGCAUACUCAGCUUUGCAUUCCUUACAGUAGCAGUUCUAUUUAUUGCUCAGUUAUCUGUUAUAGCUACUGUAGUUUCUUCGUAUCAGCAUCUGUAUUUGUUUACCAUAUUGUUGUUUACCUCUUCCUGAUCCGGUGAGUACUUCUCGCCUUCAUCGGCUUGCAGUACCCACUGGGAGGGGAGACAUGUUUACAUGUUCUCACCUCCCCCACCAUUUUUCAGAUAUCGCCGGCGGUGAGAGUUGAGACGAGAUGUGAGACACGUUCGUAGUGGUCACUAGAGCUUCCGACCCAGUUUGUCGGUUUAGUUCCUACCCUGUUUACUUUUGUUAUUUAUAGCUUUGAUAUUACAUGGUUCAAUUGGUUUAUGUUAUUCGAAUUCAUGUGGUUUUGAAUGAACUAUAGAACUCGUGGAUUUUGUGAAAAGGGAAAAUGAUUUUCUACCCGUCGUGGUAGUGUUUUUUUAAAAGAUAAAAGUUUUUGAGUAGGGAACAGUUUUCAAAAGAUUUUCUGUGGAUUUAUGUUUAGACAUUGAAUGUAAAUCUGUGAUGUGAAUGGUGAAUGUAUGAAUGUAUGAAUGUAUAGUUAUCUCUAUAUUCAUUUAGUUGUGGUUGUAUCCGGUUUACUUGUUGUACUUGUGCGACGCCGUGCAAAUACAGGGGAGAUUUUGUCCGUGUGAACAGUGGAUUUCCUAUAUUUAUGGCGAAUCUGGCAUACCCUGGGGUCAGAUUUUUUAAAAAAAAUUUAGACGCUUUUCCGCUGUGUUUCAAACUAAAAUGGACCCCGGGGCGUGACACCACUACAAAAAAUAUAUGAAGAAUUUCAUUCAUGAAGUUUAACAUGGCAACAAACUUCAACUAAAAGGUUUAACAUGGCAACAAAAUAAAAGAAACCUAACAAAAAGAAAAGUAAACUAAAGAAACUUAGCAACAAUCUUAUGGUUUAACUCUAUAUUCCCUCUUCCCAAGUCUUUCUUAUCCAAUAAGCCCUGUGUUCAUUCUUCAAUGAAAGCCAAGCCUCACGAUUUUUUUUCUUUCUUUGGAACACCCUUGAAGCUUUAAACACCUCGUCUGCGGUCAAUGAAUCAAGCAACGCAUAAAACACCUCCAUACAUUUAUCAACUGAAUAUUUAUCAUCAUGAUAACCUUUUGUUUGAAGUUCUGCUGCGGUGAUAAUGGCUUUAGCAAUUUUAUCAUCACCCCUUUCCUUCACAAUUAGAUAAUCUCCCAUUUUAUCAACAUUUUCUCUUUUUUGUUUUCUUUUUCUACAACUUGAUGUAGUCUUGGCUUCUCCUUGAGUUUGUGUUUGUGAUUGUGAGGGUGGAGGCAUUUGAACUGGGUGGGGCAUGUCACUUGCCGAAGGUAUUUGAGCUGACAAAUCGAGCUCUUGAGUCUCUUCAACAUGUUCAUCAAAAUCCUCUCUGACACUUAGAAUUGUGGCUAAUGGAGACUCCGGUUGUGAUGACAAAUCGAUCUGGGAGGCCGACGGUGAACCUCUAGAGAAAUUACUAUAAUAUUCACAUCCACGAGCACGUUUACCUUCUGCAUAUGUGCCUUCAAUAUAUAAAGAUGAAGUACAUAUGAAUAUUAAUUCUACAAAAGAAAUGAAAAUAAAAAUAUAUCUAUAUCAUACCUUCAUAAAUAUCAUAUAGUGCUUCAUACCAUGGAAAGGGCUUGUUGUGCCAUUUCCUAAGUUCUUUAUUAGUCUUCAAAAAAAAAAAAAAAAAUUUAUUGCUAGAAAUGAAAAAAAUAUAUAUAUAAUCAAUAUUUAAUAUGUGCUACUCACAUUAAUCAACGGUUCCCAAACUUCUGAUGGAGCAGAAACCAUUUUUUUAUCUCCGUCCCAACCGAAGCCACUCAUCUCUACUAAGCUUUUCACAACUUUAAAUUGCUUUUUCAAUUGUUGCUCUUGAUCUUUCACUUGUUCUACUGUAUAAUUGGAAUGGGGAAAUUUAAUACUCAUUGCCUUAUGUAUACUACGCCAUGCCUCUUUAGUCCAUCCAUUUUGACCUCUUUAUUUAUCUUUAUUAUGUUCUUGUAAAAGUUCAACUGCAUGGGCUCUAUGCAUAUCCGUCCAUUUUGCUCGUGUUUGUUUUUUUGGAUCAUUGUCUGUACAAUUUGUAAAUCAUAGUAAAAAAGCUAAAAUUAUUGUCUGUACAAUUUAUAAAUCAUAAAUUUACUUAACAUGCUAAUAGUUUGAGUAGGCUAUUCUAAUCACGACAAAAUGACAACUAAAAGAUCAGCAAACUAACAUAUCCCCCAUAUGAAGUUUGAGAAGGCUAAAACCAAUAGUCAUUAAAUUCAUUUUUGUGUUGGACAACAAUUUAUUAACUUCCCUGUAGAAAGUGGAUAAUAGUUUAUUAAUAUAUGUUUAUAUUGGUGGCACAAUAGCUUAUAUUCAAAAUAUUAAACAACAUUGGCUUCAAAGAAUGCACCUUUACUGGUUCUAUUAUUUAAAGAAAUGCGAAAUUUCAAACUGUUAUCCCAAGUUUGUUGCUAAAGUUAUACAAAUUUGGCUUUCAUGCAACAUAGUGUUUGGAUCCUAACACCCUAAGCUGGGUAAAGACUCUUCUCUGUCUAUCUCUUACAAAUACAAUUUGUUUCCUUCAUGACCAUUUGUUUUUAUAAGAUCUUGUAGUUGGAUCCAUUUCUCAUAGCACCGAUUCUUCUGCAGGCCGUUGCAAUUACUCAGGAGAUGGUUGUGCUUUCUUAUGAUGACAGUUUACUACUCUUUAGUCAGUAUUUGCAACAACUGGUUAUUUAGAUUGGCUAGUAUAUGCCUCCUCAUAGGUAGUAUCAAUUAUAAAAAGUUUAGACUAUACAUGUAGCAACAAAAAACUUUUCAUGAUGAAGAAUAUUUCUCAUCAGGUGGACUUUAUUUUCUGAUGCAAUCAGAUCAAGGCAUAUAUCCAUGAAAAAUUGAGGACUUUGUUCUAUAAGCACCUAGAGUGAGAUUUAAUUGCCACUUGAUAGUCAAUUUGUGCUUACCAAUAGAUCAGUUGAUUUGAGUUCAGUUUUAUGAUAAGCUGGCAUAGCUUGAUAUGGCCUGACUUGUUUUUCGGUUGUUUACUUAAGGACAGUAGCAUAGCGGCAGCAAUAACAGCAAGUGCUUCAUCUCUAUCAAUUUUUAUGGGAUGUGAUCAGCAAGUGCUUCAUCUCUAUCAAUUUUUAUGGGAUGUGAUUUUUUUUUUUCAGUUAGCUCUAUCUUUUGUAUUGCUGUCAUUUAAGAAAGGGUUGCUUUCUAUGAACAAAAUUUGUAGAAAUAGUUUGAGAAGGCUAUUCUAAUCACGACAAAAUUGUUAGUGAUAUACCCUAAAGCCAAUCGGUGACAUAGGCUUGUGAACAUAUUAAGUAUUUUUCUUAUUUAAUAAAGGGCAAGUUUUAUUCAUAUUUAUUGUUAGCAGUACAAUAUAUUUAUAUGAAUCGUCCAUUGAAUCUUCGUUAAGAAAAUAUAUUCCUAAGAGUUGGGAAUCUGAGAUAUAUAUUUCUUUGUACAAGAUUCUUAAACGCUCCUAACCAUAGGAAUAUUAUAAGGACGAUGAUAUUUCCGGAUAGGCCGGUGUAUGCUAUACUUCUUAGUUGAGGUGACGAAUCUCAAGUUAUUAGUGUAGGGACACUAAAGUAAGCAUGCAGGUGCUUGUUAGAGAACAAGUACACUGAGCGUGACAAUUUAGUUGAACAGUUACAUGGUUCCAUAUUCGCCAGUGACUAGUUCUAUGCUACCGUUGUGUGAAGUACUCCUCAGACCUUAGGCAUCAUGGUUGCUUCACAUAUAGAUUGCUACUGUUUGACUGUACUAAUACUUAGACUCUAAUCAUUGGUCUACGUUUGGUACUGAUUGGCUGUAGUAGUUUAUAUGGGGAGGCGUGUGAGUGUGGAAUAAGGAAUUCAACACUCUCAAUAAUGAGAGAGAACGUCCUAUGUAGACUAUCGAACUCGACUCGAAAAAUCCUUGGCCAGGGUACGUGGUGUGCGGAAAGAGUUUCCAGCUAUGUUACCAUAUUGAGUCUGUUUUAGAUAUUCUAGUCAUAUGAUCGAAUAAUAAGAUUUGGCGAGUAACCAUAAUCUUAGUUCGAUCAGGGUGUUGUGUGUUGGAAGGAAUUAAUCACACGGUAACGGUUAGCGGAAAGGUUCGUUUUAUCAUCACUAUUUUGGAUUACCGUGAUAUACUGCUAGGUGUUACUCACGGACAGUGAGAGAAGUAAACAAAUAAUUUAAAUAAAUUAUUUUACAGAUUAGAAGAGUUCUAAUUCAAUAUUGAAUAGUUUGAUAUUGGACCUCACUGCCGAAUAGUAAUGAACCUAUGCGAUCACACACAAUAGGAAUUGUGUGCAUCCAACAGGACAAGAUGAGAAUAAUACACUAAACGGUUUAAUGAAAAUAGUGAGGAUUAUAAUUUGAUUGUUACGAAAGAUUUAAUCUCUAAUUAGAUUAGAGAAUAAUUAAAUAUUCAUAAAAUAUUCUAAUUAGAUUAGAUUUAAAUAUGAAUAUUUAGUUAUGAUUUAAUGGAUAAGAUCAAAUUAAAUUGAGAGAUAAGAAUUAAUUCUAUUGGAUAAGCUUCAACUAAUUACUAAAUUGAUCAUUAUCCUUAAAUCGAAUUAGUUCCUAGAUUGAUGCUUAUGCUAAUACUUAAUUAGUUAAUACUUCGGCGAAACUUGAGGAGAAAUUAAUUCAUCCUCCUGGCUGUUCGGUUGGAGUUGUUAAUUAAGUAGCCACGUACAAUGCGGUUGAUGGGUGUAGUUAAUUAAGUAUCCCACGUAAAGAUAUAUAUAUAUAUAUAUAUAUAUAUAUAUAUAUAUAUAUAUAUAUAUAUAUAUAUAUUACAUAUACAUAUAUAUAGUAUAUAUAUUAUAUAUAUAUAUAUAUAAUAUGUAUGUAUAUAUAUAUGUAAUAUGUAUGUAUAUAUUAUGUAUAUAUUUAUGUAGUAUAUAUGUAUGUAUAUAUGUAUGAUAUACUGUAUAUAUUAUAUAUUAUAUAUUAUAUAUAUAUUAUAUUAUAUAUAAUAUAUAUAUCAUAUAUAUGUAUGUAUAUAUAUAUAUAUAUGUUAUGUAGAUAAGUAUUAUAUUAUGUAUAUAUGUAUGUAUGAUGGAUGUAUAUAUAUAUUACAUACAUAUAUACAUACAUAUAUACAUAUAUAUAUACAUAAUAUAUAUAUAUACAUACAUUACAAUAUAUAUAUACAUAUAUACAUAUUAUCAUACAAUAUAUACAUAUAUACAUACAUAUUAUAUACAUAUAUACAUAUAAUACAUACAUUACAUAUAUAUUAUAUAUAUAUAUAUCAUAUAGGUAGGUUAUACAUAUAUAUAGACAUAUAUAUAUACAUAUAUAUAUACAUAUAUAUAUACAUAUAUAUAUAUAUAUAUAUCUUUAUAAGGAAGGAUAAUUAAUUAGCUCUUGAGGUGAACCAAAUUAUCCGUCUCUCUCUCUGAUCUUUUGAAAAAUCAAUACAUCUUACAAAAGGGAACGUGGAUAUCAUAAGACUGCUAGCACCGUCUUUAUAAUCUGUGACUCAUCUGUUCCAUGCGACGGAAGGCGUUGGAUCUGGAUCAAUUCCGUGUGGAUACGCGUAGAGGCCGGGCACGUGCGCGGCUAAUUGGAAUCUCAGUUUCAACCGUACGGUAGAUCAAGAGACCUUAACCGGUCCGAGGUGAAGUAGCCUAAAUUUCAUAUCUGUUUAGGUUAGAUUAUUAUUUUACAUUGUAACAUGAGAAUGAUCCGCCGGCACUGGAUUGAUUUGUUUUCGUUUUAGAUCAUAUGUGAUAUGGAUUUUUAUUUUUUGAAAUUACAAUUUUAAUUUCACUGCGAUUUUUUUUGUGCCGGAUUAAUUCUUUCAAAAAUGACAGCUAAAAGAUCAGUAAACUGACAUAUCCCCCAAAUAAGCAACGAAUUUAUAUAUUCAAGAUCGACAAAUCUGAUCAUCCCUUUUUUACCGGUUGGAGGAGGAAAAUGGGGCUGCUCUUCUCCGACCAUCGCAAGGUGAGGGGCGAGAGAAGAUCGAGGCACGAAAAUGGCGGUCGAGGUUAGUGCGGCGGUGGCGGCGACCGAGGUGAUCGUGACUGCGGCAACGGCAGCGCACGAGAUGAGUACGGCAGCGGCGGCAACGCGCGAGAUAAGUACGGCAAAGGGGUGGCCGAGAUGAGUGCUGUGGCGGCGACUGAAGUGACAGCAGCAGUAAUGAUGGGAGGAACGCUCUGGUUGGGAGUUGUGGAGAGGUCAACAGGAGAGAGAGAGAGACGAUAGGAAGUCAAGCGAGUGGGGAGGCGGCCCCAAAAAAUGGCGUAACAUUUUUUCAGAGAAAAUAUUAGAUGUUACUUUUACCCUGUUUUUUAGGGUAUAGUUUAACUAUACCCUAUUUUUGAACCAUCCAAACACCCAUUAGGAAAAUUUUCCUACACCCAUAGAUAGCAUAGUUUUACUAUACUCUAAAAAAAAGAGCAUCCAAACAGGGCCUUAGGGUCCAACUUGGGUACGAUGCCACUACUUUCACAUGCUAGAUUCCAUCCAAGGCUAAGUACCACUAGUAUUCUAGCUUACUUCCAAAGCCCAUAUGUCACCUUUUGCACCUAAUCAUUAGUCCUUUUUUUUCCAUGCAGGAGGGUUACAACCCUAACUCCUCCUGGCAUACAACCCAACUGUGCUUGGUUUAUUUACCAGCCACAAUGCACAUCACAUCCUUGAAAAACUAAGGACAAGGGAGAGUUCAAAUCAUCUCAAAGACACUCCCUCUCCUUUCCUUGGAUCUUCCUCAAGAUCGACUUAAACUUCGGUCAUACUAAUAGGUCACUUCAACCUUUAAAUCUCCACACAAAAUUUUCCAUACCGUGACCAUGUCGACCAUUCGAUUCAUCCUUAAAACAAUCUUCAGAUCCUAUACCCUAGGUCAUAGGUACACUCCGAUAGUGUCUUAUACAUCAAUGUCAUACUGCAUAUUUUAUCCUCAGAUCACUGGCACUCUUCAACUUAACCCAAACUGGGUGUGCUAUAAACACAUCUUGUUAGCACCACAACUGGGCUAAUCACCCGUAAGCCCACUAAAUUCACAAUCUCAUAGCAAAUCAACCACCAACACAUUCAACAUAGUGCGUAAAACACGCUAUGCUUGAUCAUCAGCCUGAACUGACAUGCUCCUACGAGCCACAUCAUGUUCCCCUGCCAUGGAAGAACGAGGUCAUCAUCCCUCAAAUGUUCUACUUACUGACCUUAUCAACUCGGCUCCACUUCGAUAGUCACCACUUGGCUACUUCAUUCUCAUCAUCCAAUCAUAGUUUGGUUUUACCUACGCCGUUUCCCCAUGCGUUGUGCCUUGCAUCCAUCACCCAUCUUUACUGGGGCAAACGCGUCCAUAUCCUCCAAGACAAGAAUUAUCAAAUCUCCAAGGCUCCCAAUCCUGACACCAAGUCAAGACACGCAUUGGCUCCUCAAGACCAUACAUCUCGGUCACAAUGAGAGGCCUCGCCCUUAGCGACACUUAGCUCGCAACAUCAGAGGGCUAUCUAGAUCUCCACAAUAACCGUCCUAAAAAGUAACUUAUUAUUGUCACUCGAGGGAUAACACGCUUACCUAGGCGACCCAAUGAUUGAACUUAAUUCUGUCGCGCACAAUAGUCGACCCAAUCAAGCGAAAGUCAUAGAAGCGCAAAUACAAAUAAAGCUCACCAAACUAAAAGAAAAAAAAGGAGUUUGUCGCAAUCAUCAAACGACAUCCUCCUUGCAUGAUCGAUCCGAAAAAACUCAAAAUACAUUGAUCAAACUCCUAAAAUAAACUCUAGGACUUAGACACGACUAGGAGUUUUGAAGUCUUGUACUUUCUGCAAAAAACAAAUUCUUGAUAGAAUACAACGUCAAUACAAAGAUUCCAAUAUUAACAAGGAAGUAAAGACUAGCCUAAGCAUAAGAAAAAUGUUAAGAAGAGUAAAGAAGUCCAACUACAUCCAUCACAAGCACAACUAAACACUAACCUAGCAAGUCAAGAAGUCCAUAUCCAUCCAUCAGAAGCACAACCAAAUAAAAACCUAGCAACUAAAGACAUCUAGAACACUAGAAACUAAGUUAUCUCCCCUUUUUUGUAACAAAGAGGAGUCACAACCAAAAUGAACAAAAGAUGCAUGUAAAAAGAAAAACGAUGCAUGGUCAAAGGAGAUGCACAAGUCCCCACAGCAUGUCUAGUCAGAAUCCUCAUCCUGCUGUGGAACAUUAGCACUGCAGCAGCCCAAUUUGUCGAAAAUUCAUGAUCCUUUGGAGUUUACUGAGCUUUUUGGUUAUUCUUGCUUGUUCUGCGCGCUCAUUGGAGUUUACUGAGCUUUUUGGUUAUUCUUGCUUGUUCUGCACCCGAGCGCUCUUGCUUGAAAGAGAGGCACUGCUGUUCCUUAUAGAUGGAACUCACUAAGACGUUCUUCUCAGAUGCCUUCUCAAAAGGUUAAGAGAACCUUGAUCCCCGUGAGGUGGUGAUGUGCUGUGGAAGUCGCGACUUGAUAAGAGUUGUCACAUUUAUCUUACUAAGGCUAUGCUCAUAAGUAGUACAAUGAAUAUCGACAACACAAUUCUUCAAAAUUCACAUAAUGAUCAUCGGAUAUGGAAGUCGUUCAUAUUGGUAUGAGGUCUUGAUAUCUUUUGCCAUUCGGUAGCAGAUCAGAAAAGGAAUGUUUAGGUUGAUCCUUCGUGCCUGUGCUUCUGCAAGAUGCCCAACCAGAUACAUAUAUAACAAUCUCUCCCAACGAACCACCUUGGUGUUCAUAGUUGGAAGUAGGGCUGUAAACAAGUCGAACUCGAGCGAGCUGGAGCCAGCUCGAGCUCGGCUUGUCGUCUUCAAGGUCGGCUGGUGUUUGGCUCGAGCUCGUGACGAGCUCGAAAACUUUGGCUUGUGAUCGGCUCAAAACUUAAUCGAGACGGCUCGUGUUCGGCUCGUUAGCUCGAUUAUAUAAUGCUACCGAAGUUCGUUGCCACCGAAGUUCGCUGCUUCGCUCCCGCCAAAGUUCGCUGCCGGGGGCUCCUCGACAUCCUCCCCGCCACCGAGCUCGCCGUGGCCGAGAACAUACGCACCUCGUCGACCUCGUGCGGCGCCAGUGCCAGCGCUCGACCCCGGCCCCCCACCCCGCCGAGGACGCGCUCCACUCCGAGGUCCUGAAGCUGAUCUGCAAGAUCGAGAUGGAGAUCGUCCCUGACCGCGCGCACCUCGCCGCGAUCUUUGAACCUGAGAUAGAGAAAGAAGGAGGCGACUAUGUGCGGUGCUUGUGCAAGCCUGAGAGAGAGAAAGAGAGAGAGGUGGGUGUGUCAUGUGUGUGUGGCUGUGUGUGCGGCAGUGUGAAAAAGAUAGGGAAAAUGCUAAUUAGGUUUAGGACUUAGAAAUAAAAAAGUAGAACUUAUUUCAUGGGCCUAUGGGCCAUGAGUGAAAAUAAAAAAUUCUAAAUAUAAAUGGGCCUAUGGGCCUCUUUUAUAAAUAAGCUAAAUUUUUUUAAAAAAAGUUGGACUAAAAAUUUAAAAUUAAUAAUAUAUAUAUAUAUAUAAAUAUAAUUAUAUAUAUAUAUAUAUAUAAUAAUACAAAUAUAAUUAAUAUAACUAAUACAAUAUAAAAAUUGUAUUAUAAUAAUAAAUAUAAUCGAAGCUGUAUCUUGAGCCGACCACUAUCUGCGCAAUGAACAUGGUCGACACAACUUGUUUCUUGUACGAUCCACGCUGCCCUAGCUCGUUGUUCGGUCCUGUUUAUUAACGAUGAAAAUCCAUGCUCGUGUCGCUUGUUACUACAGCGAGCCGAAUUCUCAGCUCAUUUCGACGACACAGUGCUCGCGAACAGCGAGCUGGAUUGCCACCCCUAGUUGGAAGGUUGUUGUACACUACAAUGAAAUUAAGAAAUCGAUACUCGAGCUUAAGUUCUUUAGACAUAACCGAGUUUCCAGUAUACCGCGUCCCUGACAAGCACACUCUAUUUGUGACUUUCCUCUAGUCUUUAAGAGAAUCAAUCCCUACCUUCAAAUAGUCGACACCAUCAAUGUGAGCCUCUAUAUGAAGUGUUGUAGCGAUUGUUUCUGGAGUAAUGUCCAAGAAGACCCCACGAAAUUUCAUCUUGAAUACAUAAGGACCACCUUUAGCAUCUUGAAGAUGACCUUCUUGUAGAUAGAACUUGCGAAUUAGCUUUAAACAAUAGCUUCUUUGUUUUGGAAAGUGGCAUAUUUUUGCAAGCCCUCCAUUUUCGAUUCAUUUACUUGUCUAGCCUCUUUACAAAAAAAAAUUCCCUAUCUAGCCUCCUUUUGAAAAAUAUUCCCAAUCUAGCCUCAUUUUAAUAGAUUAGGAAAAAAAUGAUAAGUUAAUAAUUUUUAUAUAGAUUAAUAUGUUAAGUGAGUGGAGAUUAUCUUUUUUCUUUUUCCUUUAAAAUUAAAUGAAUGUAAUGUGAUUUUAUAUAUGAACACUUAAUAAAAAAUUUAUUUAUUAAUAAUAAUAUUUCUAAAUUAUAAUUUUCAUUUGUACUACUAGUACUCAAUUUGAUUAUACAAGUCAAUAUAAUUUAAAAGUGUUCAUAUAUAAAAUCACAUUACAUUCACUUAAUUUAAAAGAAGAGAAAAAAAAAAUAACUUCCACCCACUUAACAUAUUAAUCUAUAUAAAAAUUAUUAUUUAUCAUUUUUUUCCUAAAAUAUAAAAAUGAGGCUAGAUUGGGAAUAUUUUUCAAAAGGAGGCUAGAUAGAAAAUUUUUUUUGUAAAGAGGCUAGACAAGUAAAUAGUUCUCUAUUUUCAUACAAAUCGGCGAAAGUGGGAGCUUCUUCAAUUAGCUUCCUAAUGACGACGUCACAUUCUCCGACACAAAGCUUUUUAGAAUAUAUGCUAUGUCGCUUAGGAUCAACAUGCUUCUCUUGAUGUGAACUAUGCCGAGGGGGUUCAGAAAUAGGUUCACGAAUCUCUAUACCUCCCGACGUCCUUGCAUCUCGAGUAGGAACCAAUUUUUCUUUGCCUUUCCUUGAAGACAUAACUUCAGGAGUGUAGCCCUCUUGACAACAUAUUUAGUUUCCGAGGCUUGAGAAGCUUGGUAUUUGCUCACUUCUUCUUCCUCGAGACGUGAGCAUUUUCAUGCCCGGAUUUCCAAUGCCCACCUUCUCGUACAACUCCAGCCAUUAAGACCACCAACACUAGUAGCCAUGAAGAAUACACUUUUGAAACACCCCUGUUUAUAUUUUUGGCAUAAAAUCAAAAAUUUUAAAAAUGCAUCUAGUGGUUCCUAGGGCUAUGAGAAUGUAUGAUGAACUCAUUUUCUAAAGAAAUUAUCAUUAAAAAUCCAUAAAAAAAAAUAAUUUCUACAAAAAUAGGCAAAAUACCGUAAAAAUCACAACUGAAGCAAAUCUGAGCAAAUGAGAAGUUCCAAAUCAUGUAGAAUGAUGCCAAACCACGAUGAAACACAUUUAGAACUAAUUUUGAAAGAAAAUUUUUAGUUUAAUUGAGUUAUAUCUAAAAAAUUUUCAACCAAAAUACCUAAAAAUAGUUAUUUCUAGGUUUUCAUAUGAAGCACAAGAGAGAAAUAUGAAAUUAUAGCAUACUGUACUUCAGUACACUAAACUGAACUUUAGUCAAUUAGAUAAAGUCCGGUGGGGAGUAUAUUAGACUUGCUUAAAAUUGAGUUCAGAAAAUGUCAGAACAAUUGUUUACAAGUUAGAGCUCUAAAAAGAAAAAAUGGAAUUUUUGGAAGAAGCAAGUCAAGCUGGGGGACCUUCGGGUUCUGGACCCUGACUUGAGGUUUGUCACGCCCCGGGGUCCCCUUUUUGUUUGAAAUACAGCGAAAAAGCGUUUGAAUUUUUUUUUUUUGAAAACCUGACCCCAAAGUAUGCCAGAUCCGCCACAAAUACAGGGAAUCCACUAUUCACACGGACAAAGUUUCCCCUGUACUUGCACGGCGUCACACAAGUACAAAAGUACAAACAGUAUACAACCACAAUCAAAUGAAUAUACAGAUAGCUAUACAUUCAUACAUUCCCCAUUCACAACACAGUUUUACAUUCGAGGUUUAAACAGAAAUCCACAAAAACCUUUUGAAAGCUGUUUCCUACACAGAAACCUUUAUUCUUUUAAAAACGCUACCACGAGGGGUAGAAAACUUUUUAUUUUACAAAAUCCAGAAAUCCACAUUUUCCAAAGUAAUAAAAAUACUAAACCAUAUAAACCGACUAAACUAUAUAUCAACAGAAAUACCGAGGGUAAUAACUAAAUCGAAAUAACCUGGGUCGGAAGCUCUAUCGACCGCUACACACGUACCUCACGUCUCGUCCUCCCACUUACUUCAUCGCCCGCGAUACUGAAAAAUGGUGUGGGAGUGAGAAAUGUAAACAUGUUCCCAUCCUGUGGGUGCGCAAGCCGAAGAAAGGCGAGAGGUACUUCAACGGAUCUAGAAAGGAUAACCAACAGUAUGGAUAAGUAAAUGCCUUGUACACGAUAAUGACAGAAGUGGACUCUCGAGGAUAAUAUUAUAUAUGGACAAACACUACCGCUUGUAUGUACAACUGCCGAAGCAUACGAAGGUUAUAAUCAAUCACUAUUAGUUAGCAGAGACACUGUUAAGAAAGAACUAGAGUACAUAUGCAACAACCGCUACUAUAGUAUAUGCGUCAACCGGGACGAGAAGUCCAAAGUACCCGAAUCAAACCGCGUGUCGGCUAAAGGGACUCAGGCAAAGAGGCACUAUGCUGCUCAACCUGGCAUGUAAUCCUAGCACAAAAGAGGAACCCGCUGCGGCUCACGGGUCGGAUGUACGAACACUUUUCCGGAAAGAACACCCUUCCUGCGGAGGGAUCAACCCGCUGUGUACGUCUGUGAAAUGCACUGCGAGCUGUGGCGAUCAAUGCGAUAUUCAAUAGCCCAACCGUCGGCAAUCAGCCGACAUCACGCCCUCGGGGCUAACGACUGGGGUGUAUAGCGUCAUCAAGUAACAAGUGAACGACAAGACGAGGUCAAUGAUAUGGAAAGACACGAGACGCAAACAGUUGCGGUCACGCGAUGCAAACGGUGUGGAAGAACGACAACAUGAGGUCACAGUAAUAGUAUAUAGCGAAUGCAUCUACUCUACCCCUAUACAGAUACUACACAUAAGUAACAACCAGGCAGAGUAAAUAAGGAAUAAUAUGUGACUGCUCUAUGUCAACUAGUAAGAACGAACGCAGAUAAGAAACGACCGAUUAGGUCACAGGAGUGUAAUGGCCGAACUACCGUCACACAGCGACAAUCUUACUCGGCAGUGGGUACACGACCUCAAAGGUCAGCUGAACAACAGAAGUCAGAAAACAGACCAACCCAAUACUAAUGCCCCAAAACGCGAUCCAAAACAGGGUCACCGAACGAUAGUACGAGAAGCGAGCCAAUUAGCGCACCGAACAAAGUACGAGAACGACCAAUCAGAGUCACGAUAUGACAUAUGGAUAAACUACUCUAUCCUACAAUGGAUAACUAAGAUAGAAACCGCUAUGGAGUAGAGAGUGGUAAUAGAAACACGGGGCGUGUGGCAAGCUCAAUUAUAUACGAAAAUAAGCAACAGAAGAACAGGAUAGAAAGAAUGAAUCAGCGAGCGCUGACCACGUACGACCUUCGGAUCGAAGUACGCCACCGUGCUACAAUGACGAAAAAAAUGGGCGGUGCGCUGGUUUCCUGACCUGCAAGAAGGUGGACGCGUCAAACCGGACCUAAGGAAGGGUCCAGCCGAGUUAGUGUCGUAACCCACGGAGUGACAUAACCAUAAAAUGGCCGAAGACCUUACAGGCAAACCAUGGAGAUCGCGUUCGCCAAAGCCCGACGCCGGUAAUCGCCGGAAGUCCCGUAAUCGCAGGGCGGACUCCGCGGGACCGCGAACUGUCCCGGAACGUACCGACUCGAGUUCUACGAGUCACCUGCUGCACUAAAACAUAAAUAAUCUUUAUCAUGGCAGCGAAACACAACUCCUCGUGGUUGAAGCAAUUAUCGUCGGAUAAUCGUUUCGAUUCGGGUAUCCCGGAAGUGUUAAUUUCGACACCGGAACCACCGUCGGCCUCGGACCGUCAUUCCGAACUCUCGAAAUGACGAAGUGACCAGCAAAAAGCUCAGGCGACUACGCAAAAGUUCACGAGCCACCGUCUCGAAUAAUUCCCGAACCGAACCGGGUUCUUCGGCGGGAUUUUCGCCCACACCCCCGCCCUCCUCGCCCCGCCCCUCUACCCGAACACGCACGGAAAAGCCCAUCUCGAUUUCGCGAAGGGGUCUAGGCUUGGACAAUACAGGCUCAGAGGUUACCCUUGCAGGUUGCUGUCCACAGCGACCGAGUCGGAUUGUUAUAUGCAGAAAGCACACUCAGAACCUAAUAUUAUCAUGUAUAUGCGAUUUCCGACAGUUUUAAAAUGAGCCCGAUCUUGCGAUAUGAGCUCGCUGGGUCAACCGUCGCACCGCUGAUAGGAUUCUCCAGUCGCGGAGGACCGUGACCAUUCGGGCACAAUUCGGCGGGAUGCGGUGCAGGCGCACAAGCGAACCAGCGAAAGCACGUCAGCGAAGCAGCGCCGCACCGCUGCAGGAGAUCGCGUUACCCGAGCAACAAGGCAUCAAGAUCCUACGAAGUGAAGCACGUGUUCAGCCGACACCCUAAGAAUCAUCGUGCUCACUUCCGAGUCAAAAAGACAUUCGGAUUUGCGAAAAGAUACGCGGGAGGUGAGGAAAACAGUGCUGGAAUGCAUAAUGGUGCACUCACAGUGAGGAAGGGGGGAGCGUGGAGUGGCGCCGGCGGGUAUUCCGGCAAGGCGUGUGCGGGCCGGGGGAUGGUCGUUGCACACGGUGGCGGGGCUCGGGGAACUCCCCGACAGGCGGGCAGUCGGCGGCGAGUGCGGCGGCGGCGUACGGAGCCGCGCCGCGCCCAUGCGGUUUGGUGCCUUCCAUUAGUCGCGGCGGGCGAUGCGGCGUGGGGCUGCGGGGCGAGUGCCGCCGGGGGCGACGGCGUGGGGUCGAAGGUGGAUUUAGGCCGAGCUUGCCGUCGGCGGGCCGCGGCGAUGCCGGGAGUGAAGGCGGGCCGCGCAGUCGCGCCGCUACAGCACAACAGGUGCGGGCAGGGCAGCUGCGGCGCGGCGGAGCGCUCUAAGCGGUGGCAUAAAAGGGGUCGGUCCGAGUGCGUCGCCGGUAAGGUCGGCCGGAGACGUCCUAGUAUGCCUCGUGGACAGCGGCGCACAGGGCUCACACUACCGAGGCCACCAGCUUCGGCCUGGGUGGUGUCCUGAGGCGCAGAGCGGCUAGCGGCCGGCUCGGGGCGCACGGACGGUGCGGGGUCGGCAGUGCGGUGCGGGGUGUCGCGGGGCUCACCUCACUCGAGCACAUGGCCGCUCAGGGCGUGGUGCUGCUGGGCUACACCUCGGCCUAAGUGGAAGGCGAGAUCGGAGGCAAGGUUGAGCUCUGGAAAUCUUCUUCGUGGGGGCAGAUCGGCCGGCGCGGAGGUGCGCGCCGCCGGGAGUGCGAAGCACGCUGGGGCAGUGGCGGCCUCGUAGGCGGGCUGGGCUGCACCAGGGAGGGCUAGGUUAGAGUGUUUCACUUGCAAAACCUAGUAAUACCCUCUUGUUAUUAGGCUCCAAAUUGCGGGAAAAAGGCCCACUCAAAACUUCCGUAGGGUCGCGCUACUACAGUCCUUACGAGCGAGUGUAAAACGGCGUGAGAAACUCACCCUCCACGUAGCGACUCUCAGGUAAACGGCUACAUAAAUAUUGCGACUUUUUGCCAAAAAUACCGUGUUUCCCCACAACGACAUCUCCGUUCGAACAAGCGGCGUAUAUCCGCAGAUCCGUCCGUCAGAUUAUGUGCGAACGGAUGUGCACGAGCUCGAUCAGUACCUCACGAGCAACAAGCUACGAUUUCGGUUUGUAUCGAGUCGACCACGGAUUCACGACAAAGUCCAACCUUUCCGUUUCCAAUUGAAAGUAAACACACAUACAUAUAAAACAUGUAUUUUUGGAUUUUCUCGAAAUCCGUGCGUCAAAUUCAAAAUCCGUCAGCGCCAUUAGUUCUAGAACAGCUGAACCGAUCGAAACGAGCUAUUGGACCACUAGGAACGGAGUCCGAUACGAGCCUGAAGCCAACUUCACACCGUGGCUUCUCCGGAAAAAUCGAGUUACUAUUCACUUAAGUGAAAACUAAUAAUCGCGUAACUUCUCCGUUUUAGCUCAUUUUCUCCAGAAACUUGACGAGUGCUUAUGUAAUUAAAUUACACACAUAAACAUCGUCAACAGAGAGUUUAGUUGCACUGUAAAAAUCUCAGUCCUUACAAGGUUUCAGGUCCUAAAAUAGCCCCAGCGUUUCAUUGUCCGGACCCUGGCCGAGGUUCCGGACCUUGGUCAUGAAAUCUGAUAGAACCAUGGGUUCCGAACCCUAAGAGCGAGGUCCGGACCCUACUUGCGCAACGCAACAAUCAGGUACGGGUUUAAGACCCUGACUAUAAGGUCCAAACCCUUAACCCGCAGAUUGCCCAGUGCAAUGGCAUUUUCAUAAUUUUGAAAUGGGGGACUUACUAGAAGAGGGGCUCUUCUUCCUCAUCCUCUCACACAUACUCUUCCUCACUACCACACAUCUCUCCUUCUCUUUCUUUCUCUAGAAGAUCCCUCUAACCUUAGAAGAGAUCAAGGUUUUUGAUCUAGGGAGAAGCUUUUGAGUGGCCUAGCUAGCUUCUUAGAGCAAGAAAAAGUUCGGGACCUUGGACUAGAGAUGAGUUUAUGGAGAUUUGGGGUUAGGGUUUCGCAUUUUGGCUUUAUUUUGGGAUUUUGUAAACCUUAAAUGAAUCUAGGCCAUAAAUAGUGGAGAUUCACCAAAGUAUUUGGAGUUUUGUUCUAAAUUUGGAAAACUCUAGGUUGAAAGAAGGCUUUUGCCCUAGAAGGGUUUAAAAAUUCUUUAACCCUUAAAAACUCUAAUUGAAGGGAGAAAAUCAAGUCGGACAACUUGAUUUCUUAAAAUAAAAUUAUUUGAAUAGUCGAAAUAGGUAACGAAUGGAUCUCUUGUUUAGGGCAAGAAGAGCUUUGUAGCAAGCUUGGAGAUCUAAGGAGUUAGGCUCAAUCGCAAGUAACUACAAGCAAUUGGGAGUGCUUUGAGGUGGGUUAGUGUUUGACCAAAGUGAUUAGGUCUCCUCCAAGCCUAAUAAGAAUAGUAUGUUAAAAUGCAUGUGUUGCAUAUAAUGUAUGAAAUUAUGUAUGAAUCUAGCUUCUUAUUACAUCGUUAAAGGUAUGAAUGCAUGGUAAAUGUAGAUGUGCAUAAUGUUAUUGUAUCAUGAAUCGUGAUUGAGUGCAUGCAUAUGGCAUUAUACCUAUGUCUUGGACUUAGUGCAUGAGAACUUAUCUUGAACCUAGAAAACUAAGUACCUUGGACAAAGAUGGUGAAUAUAGUGGUAGGGUACCCACAAGGACAUGGGACUUGAACUUAGAAUGGUGACAUUGUAAGGUUAUGAGACUAACUUCAAGACCAUGAGAAAAGGAAUCCCGAAACUCCUAAAUUACCCAACGGUUGGGUGCGCAAAAUGCCACCUAGAACCACGACAGGAUGGCAGUGCUCCACUACAAUUGACAGGAUGGCAAUGCUCCGCUAACAAAUGACGCAUUGUCAUAAGAUGUGAUCAUGUGGCAAGAGUGAUAAUAUCGCCGCCUAAUGCCAUGAGGAUGGCGUAGCUCCGCUAACAAUUGACUUCGGAUCAAGUCGGGCCUAGAUGACAGGAUAGUGAAGGGUUAAGUGGAGAUGUGUUAUACUUACUAGGAGACUUCAGUAUCAUUCAGUUAUAUAUAUGUGUUGGACUAAUCCUCUUUUUGUGUUCUCUGUUGGACCUGGUGGGCCGAGCUUUUUGCUUGGAUAGUCGUACCCAUUAGGAACUAUAUUUAUAGUUUUCACCCCCAUAUUUUGCAGGUCUGUAACGCCCCCAAUAUCCUAAAUCGGGUGGAAAACUAAUUCUGAUUAGAAUAUAUGAGGCCUACAUGCUAAUAAUAAUAACUGGGCUUAAGUAUUUUGGGCCGGUGUUUGGGCCCAACUAGUUAUUAUUGCUAGCGGGUUAGAUCGUCACAUUUGGUAUCAGAGCCAAUUCACCAGCUGAAAAUGUGUGGCGAGUCUCGGCUGAGCCAAGGUCUAAAAGACAAGAUGAUAGGCUAUGCCGGAGUCUGAAUGACAAAGUGAUCGGCUAUGCCAGGAUUUGGAUGACAAGGCUAGCGAGACGAGUCUCACAUCGCCUGGUGAUCUUGGGUUGUGUAUGCGAUUGGACUAACGAGGACGUCAGGGUCUAAACAGGGGGAGUUUGUAACACCCCCAAUAGUCCCACAUCGGGUGGGAAACUAAUUCUGAUUAGAAUAUAUGAGGCCUAUACGCUAAUAAUAAUAACUGGGCUUAAGCAUGGUCGGUGUUUGAGCCCAACGAGUUAUUAUUGCUAGUAGGUCGGAUCCUUACAAAAAGGAAAAGGAAAAAAGAAAGAAUAGAUGAAAUAUACUUGCCGAUCAAUACGUGGAAUUAAUCCAACGUCAAAAGCCUUCUCUUCCUUUUUCUUUUUCUUUAUCCUCUAUCUCUCUUCUUCUCUCUCAAAAGGAGGUGGAAGAUGGGUGAGGAUGGAGAGAUAGAGAGCUCCCUGAUACUAACUUAGUGGAAUUCCACUAUGUACAAAAUACCAAGAAGUCCAAAACUAUCCAAUAUCUACAUUUUUGUCGUCCAUGUACAAAAAUGUGAAUUUUGAAUUCGUUUUCACAUCAAUUUUGCGCCAAAAUGCCUCAAAUUUCAUGAAGGCCCUGCAAGGACAAGCUGAUUAGCAAGUCACACUAUAACCUUGUCUAUUUAUUAAGGUCCAGUAUUUUACAGUAUACAACCCCAACGCAUAGCAAGCAUUUUUAUACGAAGGAUAUAGUACCAUUCAUAAUUCUGAUAUCUUCAUAACUUUUAGGACAUUUGCAAAAGUUCAACAAAAUUCACAUGUAAUGUAAUUCACCACUUCCUGGUGGAAUAUAAUAUAGUCUUCCAAUUGAGAAGCCGCGUUUCCUUGGACGCCAACUACGAAGAUCUUUUUUCCAUACAAAUUUGGUGGGAAAUUCUCCAUAAGUCAGAUUUCUAGCCUCUUCAAAAUUCUUAUUAGCGUCCAUCCAAGCCAAAAACAUAGUUUGAUUAUUUCCAGUUCUGCCUACAAUAGAAUCAAUAGGCUCAUCAUCAUCAAAGACAACAGUUUGCUCAUUUUGAAGAUGGAAAGAUAACCUCUCAACUGGUGGUUCUCUAUAAUUGAUAUCAAAGCCAAAGAUCCUCCAUACAGCCUCACAUGGAGAUACAUACCUACAGUCAUAGUACAUCUUGAUUUCAUCUUGCAAGUGUUCAGAUUCACUUGUACUCUGAUAGAAUGCUGCAGUAACACGAUCAUGUCCUUUAUUGACAUAUUUGAAUAGAUAUUUUAUGGACCUUGAUUGAUUGCACCAUUCCACAUUGAUGUGAGCUUGAUACUUUAUUAGAAGCAAUGGAUUAUAUGGUACAACAAAUCUAUUAUCCAAAAGGAUACCAUUCUUUUCAACGGUCGAACCAUCAUCUCUACGCUUGUAUAUAGGGUAGCCAUCGUCAUCGAUAACUGUUCCACUAUUAAACCUUUUAGGAAAAUAUUUGGAACACUUUCCAUCCUUCAUACAGGGAGAGUUUUUAUGAGAUAUCCCACAAGGACCAUGUAUCAUAAAGUUUUGAACAGCUUCGUGCAAAACUGGAUGUUUGUGCUUAUUAGGAAUUUCAGCAGAGAUAAUUUUAUCAAUAUCAUCACCAGUUGGGUAUUUAUCUUCGGCAUUCAAAAAUAAUAAAAUAUGAGCAUGCGGUAGACCACGCUUUUGAAACUCUAUAGUGUAGACAACUGCAGUUUAAAAAAAAAAACCCUUAGUAUCAUAUAAAUAUUAUUUAUAUAAUAUACUUGACUACAAUAUGAAAAACAAAAGUGACUAAACAAUGGGAUGAAAAUAUCGAAAGGAAUAAACAAUGGGAUGAAAACAAAAUAUUGAAAAUAAAAUUUGGUUGAAGACUUACCAGCUUUUACCUUGCCAAAAUAUUGCUUUUUCUUCAAAUCUCUAAUCAAUUGAUCGAGUUUUAUUUUAAAGAUUCUGCACAUUAUAUCUGAAUGAUCUUCAGGUUUUAGACCUCUAUCAGUAAUAAAUUUUGUCAUUUCUGGCCACUUUGGAUUGCACGUGAAAGUAAUAAACAGAUCAGAAUAACCCGCCCACUUACAUAUGGCCAUUGCAUCUUGAUAGUUCUGGAUCAUAUAACGCGCACCUCCGGUGAAUGAAGAUGGAAGGAUGGUGCGCUUUCCUAGUGAGGAUGCACUUGUUUCACCCCUAAAGAAAGCUUCUGAUAGACCCUUGUAUAGCUCUACUCUUAGAUUCUUCCGAUGAGAUCUUAUAUAAGAUAAUCUCUCUGAUUCUAUCAUAGUAUAUGCAUCAACCACAAAUUGUUGAAACAAUCUUUUUGAUGAUAAUAUUGUUGCAGCUUCUCCAGCUCUAUCUUGGAUUCGAAAUGCAAAGUAUUCUCUCCUUGUCACUCUCCUCUGCUUUUUGGAUGAAAAAGAUUCUAAUCCUCUAAUAUGAAUGUCAUCUCUAUAUCCAUCUUCACCAUAAGGAAAUAACAAAGGAUACUUCAUUGGAAGAUAAGAUGGAUGUAGCUCAUGUAUUCAUUGCAAUAAGCCAGUUUGAGUUUCGACUACAAUAUCUCUUUCAACAGUGUUCUUUUCAAUAUCUCCAACAAUAAGAGCCGCCACUUCAGAUGAGGUUGGAAGAUUGUAUCUUCUUCCAUCAGUUCCUCUUUUUCUUAAUAGUCUCAAUUUCAAGUCUUGAUACUCUUCUGCCACAAAUCUAUCUCUUGCCAUUCUAAAUGAUUUGGCUAAACAAUUCCAUUCAUCUAGCAUACUUUUGAGCUCGUUAACAAUUGUCGCGUCAAACUCAUCAGAACUUCUGCUUGAACUGCAAAAUUAUUUUAAAAAAUCACUAUCAGGAUUAUACAAAACAUGCAUGCUUUUCAUAUUAUUUAUAACUAAAUAACAUAUUUUAAUAUUAUAGAUAUGAUACUUUCAUACCUUAUGGCACCUAUUCGAUUUAAAACUUCAUUUUCUGUAUCAUAAAUGUAGAGCUGCGCAAAUCUCGGACGCAAGCCUUGAGUUGGAAGCAAACUGCCAAUCAUGUGACAAUUUUGGCCAUGCAGUUUAAAUACGUAUGGUCCCCCUCCCUGAUUUAUUGUAGAGUCAAUUUUUCCUCCCAUUGACGUAAAUGAAAACAUCAUAUUGUAAGAUCUGAUCUUUUUUAAAAAGUGAUUGCUUCUGGAGUCUUUGUUAUGCAGUAAAUUUUUGAGUGCAGAAGGCGGAUCUUUGAGCAAUGGCAGUUCAACUUUUCCUUGCAUGCAACAUAGAGAAUAUCUCGGCCUAGUUAAUCUCUUGUCCUUCUCUAACCUUUCUUCAUACCAGAACAAUGCACCGCAAAAGUCACAUGCAUAAGUAGGAUCUUCCAAAUUCCAAUAAUCUAAUAACAUGUCAAGUAUAAAAAUACAUUACACAUGAUGCAGUGUUGGGAAGUACCUUCUUUUAUAUACGAGGUAUUAGAGCAAUAACGUUUAGAAACUAUGGACCAGACCGGUAGGGAAAAAGUUAAGUUAAUACCUGUUGCAUCCAAAUUGUACUGUGACUCUUCUUCAUCAACAUCAACAUCAACAUCAAUAUCUAUAAUUUUAAAAUAACUUGAAAUUAUAAAAUGAAUACAAUAAUUAAAGUUUGAAAAUAUAUUUUGAUAAAAAUGAAAAUUUACAAUUGAACUGCAAUAGAAAAAAAUUAUAACCAAUAAAUACAUAAAUAAGUCUUUAUACUAAUCACAUGGUUAUUUAAAUACUGUAUAAGCUUAUUUAUCUAUCGUAAAGAACAUGAAAUUUUUAUGUGCUUGUGUCAGCAAAAAAUAUACUAAUGUAAUAGCAUGCACACGAUUUUUUUUCUUAUCAUUAGAAAAAAUUUGAAGGUUGAGAAUAAGUGAAAUGAUUGUUUGUUUGUUCUUUUUUUGCUUUUUGUCAAAAAGAGAGUAAAUAUAAGUAACAAGAAACAAAUAUUAUAAGAGUUAGUUAUAGUUAAUAGAUUCUCACAUGCCGCGUGCUUUUGCAUCUUAGCACGCUUUUCUCUCAUAAUUAAACUUCUCUUCAAUCUCGCAGUCUUUUUCUGCAUAUAAUGGAUAGAGGAACCUACAAACAAAUAGUAUCCAACAAAAAAAUGACACCAAUCUUUUUUAUUGAAAGUAAAUCAUAUAAAAAACUAUGUGAAAAAUAAUCAUUCACCAACAUCAUAAUUAUAACAGUAUUUGUGAGAACCCUGGUGUCUGGCUGUGGGGGCUUGUCGACAGCUCUGGAGAGUGUCGGGACAAGUCCGAGUCGCGUUGGCGUCAAAUAGACGCAAAACGGACUCCGUGCGACGCGAGGGCAGCAUUCAGCGAAGGAAUCUGCAAAACAGCAGAUUUUCCUGCUUGUUGUACCGGUACAAGACUAUGCUGUACCGGUACAACCAGCGCGGGGAAUGCUUGCUGUACCGAUACAAGAGUUUUCUGUACCGGUACAAGCUACGCGCACAGAUUUAGCUGCUCUCGGGUUGGCUCUUGUACCGGUACAGGAGCCCGUGUACCGGUACAAGGGAGUUGGUGGAGGGCUAAAUCAGUAAAAUUCCACCUCGUUCAUGUCACCCUCUUUCCCUCUCUCUAUUUAUCUGUGGAUUGAGCUGAGAGAGAGAGAGUUUUCACCAUCUCCUUUCUCUCUCUCUCACUCCUAAGCGGUUGGGAGCACGGUUGAGCGGGAUUCGCCGACGUCGGCCGCGAGCCGUUCGAGCGAGCGUUUGUGCCUGGGCAAUUGCGAAAGAGGCGGCGAGUGGCGUGCGUCUUCGCCGUCCUCGGACAUCGCACCGAAGAAUUAUACGCUGUUGAGAGUGAGCAUUUUGUCGCAAUUGGCUCCGAGUACUUCGGGUAUCGUUGAUUUGCUUAAGUGCUGUUUCGCAAGAAAUCUACCGUCGACCUGUUGUUGUUCUGGCUCGUUCUCCGUGUAGGGAGCGUCCGCGAUCGCGACGAAACUUGGUUCAUUGGAUUCUAGACCCUGCAGAGAGGGAUUCCACGGAGCCCUCACUUGGCAAUUUGUUGGACGAGGUUAGCUUGUCGAAACUUGGCUCUCUUUCAGUGCGAUGAACUUUAGGCGAUUUGUGAUGUUUUGGUCGUUUUAGUCGGCGCGCCCGGUCUAGGUAGGUCCCUGAGGAAUCCGCCAGCAUCGCGGGUCGGCCGAGGCGAGUUCGCUGCCAGAAUUGCCUCGAGUGGUUUACGAUCGGCUGUUACUCCUAUCUAUUGGUCGACCAUGUAUAGAUCUAUUUCGGUAAAUUAUGUUGCUCAAAUUCAUGAGUAUAUAUAGAUUGUUUGAAAAUCUGAAUUUGGAGCAUGUUUUAUAAAUUAAGUAGAGAUUAUACAUGUUGGACUGUGAAAAAUGAAUUAGGAGAAAACCUGCGAUUUGGACCUCGUCACCAGUUUAUAACUACCUGAUUUAGCUCUAGGAGCCGCGUUAACGAAAAAUUGUACUGUCACAGUUUCUUAGGACGAGACCAGGUAGUUAGAAGUAUUACACUCGUGCUGGUUCGCGAGGGUAGAUUCUACAGGUUCGGUUCAGGUUCGUUUCGGACUGUUGGUGCGUCAGAGUUGACGGUGGACCACCGUAUCGCCUUUUUGGCGUCAGAUUGGGCCGAGGGCGGCAGUCAACCUGUUGGUUAUUAGACCAGUUUGCAGUCGAUUGCUUGACUUUGGCUAGUUGGUGACUCUGAUUGAGCUCGACAGAGAUACCGGUAUACGUCGCGGUUGGUAGCGCCACGAGUGCCACUCCGGACGUCAGGCUUGUACCUUUUGCGUUGGUGUCGCUCAUGUCCAGUUGGACUUGCUCUCCACGGACCAGUUAGUGUGGAUAGAGCCUGAUAAGUCGCAACGGGGCAGGGACGGGUGUUAUUCACAGUCCCGGGGACGGGUAUCGCUUACAGUCCGAGUCGGAUUGGGUCAGAUUUGACAUUUCCUACAGUUGGUUAGUGUAGAGCAUGAUAGUGUAUGGAUGAUAGGUGGUAGAGUAGGCUUACUGCUUUCCUUUCUAUCCUUGCUCCCUUCUGUAGACUUAGUGGGUGACCGAUGUUGUUUUUGGCGUACCACUGAGGACUACUUGUUUUUACACUAGUUCUCACGCCCAGUUGUUACCUAUGUUUUGCAGAGCCAUAGGUUCGGCUGCUGCACCGUCUGCGAACCUGGAUCGAGCAAGGGCGUCGCGAGUUAGAGCCCUACCGACGUGCUGAGCUAGAGGUGCCCUACUACAGGUAGAUGUUGUUUCGAGUUUAUGUACAUAGUUGACUUAACUCGCCAGUGCGAGUGCUCUGUAUUUUGAUCUGAACUAUGUAUAUGAAACUCGUUUUAUUACGCUUCAGUUUUCUCUAGCAGCUCUCCUACUACUGUUCGUAGUAGUGUUUGAUUUACAAGCACAGCUAUCGCUUCGUAUACAGGAAAAAUUUCUUUGUAUACGGCGGAUCUGUCGGCGGGCCCGGGGAACGUGUAAUCCGGGGCGUGACAGUAUUUGAUCUUAAAAAUCAAAUAUAACAUCAACUAUACAAUAAAGAAUGGGUCCUAACAUCAAAUAUCAAAUACUUCACCACUGUAUAUCCAUUUUGUGUAUUGAAAAUUAAUUAGGUAAAAAGACAUAUAACUUUAUCAUUAUGCCACUCUACAUUAGCAAAGAUUAAACUAAAUAUAAAAUAAUUAUCUACAUAAUAAAUCUAGGGUUGUAAAAUUUGAAUAUAAUUUGAAUAUGAUAACUUUAUCAUUAUCCAAGAAAAUACCUUCGUCAACAAUGUGGUUGGCACAGAAUCCAAGAUGAUUAGGACUUCUAGGAUUAGCACCGUCGUUUAGAUCUUUGUCAAGCUUUGAGAAUUCCACAUCCUUAUUAGCAUUCCAUGAAAGUGACUCUAAUAUGUUUUUAUCUUGAAUAAUGUGCUUUCCAACUCAGAUUUGGGGAGAAAAAUAUGUGUUUGAGGUAUUCACAUAAUCUGGAUGAAUGAUGGAUGAUAAAGAAGAGUAGGUAAUUGGUGUCCUUUCGAAAUGAUGGGUAGAUCGUUUAUCAGCAUUAGAAAGGCAAAGCACAAAAUUAGCUGAAAGACAAAACCAUAUAAGUAAGCAUUUUGCAGCAGUAACCAUAGUAAUUAUAUCCAAACUAACGAAUAAAGAUACUCACAAUUUGAAAUAUCACUCAGAGGUGUUCUUGGCACGCUAAUAUUGCUCACCAUAGGGCUCAAAUUACUCUCAAGAUUUUGAGAACCAUUAGAAUUCGAGACAGUCACUGGAAUUAGAUCUUGAACAAAAAAAGGUAGAUAAAAAUGUCAACUUAAGUGGAGAAAAAGAAUUAUAUUGGCUAUAAAUAAAAGUCAAUAAAUAGUAAAGUAUACAUAAAAGAAACCAAAACUUAUCAUGAUGUCACGCCCCGGGCCGAUUUUAAAAGCCUUUUUAAAAUCCAUUCCAUUUUGAAAUUCAGAGUUGCGAAAAAUGUGCCAUUUUUUUUUUUCAACCUGGCCCACGUGACGUACAGAUCCGCCACAAAUACAAAGUUCCUCUGUCCACUCGAACAGAGUCUCCUUUGUAUUUGCACGGCGUACCAACUAUACAACAGGAUCUCAACCACAACCUAUAUUUACCAAUCAACAAUCAAUUCAUGAUAUGCAUUUUCAUAUAGCUAACGAUCCUUAGAGAUGAUGUAUGCCACUAAGCACUCCUUAGGCGCUGGAUGAUGCAAUGCACAGUACAACAAUCAUCCUAUUUAAAAGUGCUUCCUACCCAGAAACUUUGUUUUUGAAAUCUAUUUCAGUCAUCCAAGAAAAUCAUUCGAAAACCUUUUUAAAACUGUUUCCCACUCGGAAACUCUAUUUUGAAAACCGACUACCUCGAGCGAUAGAAAACCACGAUGUAUAUAAAUUCGAUACAUACACAAGUCCACAAUCUAAAAUCAUGUGCAUAAGGAAAACAUCAUAGAUCCACUGAAUCCAAAUCACCAACAUUCAAACAAACAUAAGAUCGUCUAACUGAACCAUUUAUUUAAAUAACUAUUAAAUGCAGGGAGAAAUAACCAGGGGUGACGGACGCUACGACAAGCUAGCUAGAUCGUCCUCUCGUCGUGCCCAACGCCAACUCCAAGCCCGAGUCACCUGGGGAAAUGGGGGGUGAGAAACCGCAACCAUGGUUUUCCAGUGGAAACGACAGAGCCAUGAAGGCAAGCCGUAAUCACCGGAAACCAAAGAAGAUAGAUAAACAAGAUAUAUAGAUACUGUGAUGCUAAAAGAAAACUACAAUAGCUAUAACAGAUAUGAACAGGAUAUGAUAUAAGAGCAACUAUAGUAGUAACAGAAACAGGAUAAUAACUGAGCAAGAACGAAACCACUACUGUAACAAAACUCAACUACACGAAUGCCUCAAGGGUAAAUAGUCCAAAAUCAAACCCAAUCUGAUGCUGCUAUAUUGGUCCACAGACCUCAAGCGUUGCCUGUCAGAAAGCAUACACUGUCCACAUAUUCAUGCGUCACCGACGACCUAUCCGAAUACGUACACCCCUCGUUGGUGGCCAAACCAACCUGGUGUCUAGAAUAUACAAUGCUGUGACUAAAUCAUGCUGAUAUGCUCAAACGAAAACCAGCAAAAAGAGACCGGUGCCUUGGCCGAAGCCAGCUGCAAGGGCAUACCAUGUCGAACUACAAUCAACCAGAUCGGAACACACGACAAAGGAAUUGAUGUGUUGCCUGGACCCAAGGUCCAUAGAGAUACAAUAUAUAUGCAACCUGCUCCUACAUGUCUAUCCACAACUAUUCAAAUGCAAUCAACGAGAUACGAUAAACAAACAAUAAACAAAGAGCUGACAUGUAGAGACUACGAUACUGAUAUGAAAGAACAGAGGAAGGGUGAAACGAUCUCAUCGACUAUCACUGUCACGUCGGAACACAGGGUACGCACAAAUCGACCGGACCUACGAAGAUCCACCGGGUCAGUAACCAACCCACUAACCCAAAAUACGAGACUCGCAAACCCCCCACAAAAGAUCCCCGUAAUCGGUUUCCCCAAACCGAUCACCGUAACUCACCGAAAGUCCCGAAAAUCACACCGGGAUGCCGUCGGGACCCACUAAGUGUCCCGAACUCACCGACUCGUGUCGCGAGUCACCCGCUGCCCCAAAACACUCCGAUUUGGAUAUUUUAGCAGUAAACACAAAAUAACACCACUACAUAAUUAUCGCCGGAUAAUUGUACGAAUUCGGGUUCCCGGAAGUGUCUAUUUUGACACCGGAACCCACCGUCGCUCACCUAUCAUCACCAAACCCACAAAAUGAUGAUGGUGACCAGCCAACAAGGCUCAGCGACAACUAACAAAGCAACUAAAUGACGUCGGAAGAAAUCCGAAUCGAAAUCGCGUUCUUUCGGCGAAUUUUGCCGAAAAACGCACUAAAAUCGACUUUUCGAUUUCCGCGAAAGUUAACGGAUCAUGGACAAUCAGUCCAGAGGUUACCACACACACACGUGCACUGCCCAUAGUAACCACAUGAUGCACAAAUGCAUAAAAGCCCCUCAAUUUACAUAAAAUCCUAUCAUUUUAUGUAAAUUGAGCGAUCAAGUGGCUCGUUCACGCAAACCGAGGACUUUCAAGGUCCGCAGAGACACGUACAGCUUGGUCUCAGCGUACCGGAGGCCGUGCUCACGAUCUAGAGCACAACGGCUCACUGUGGGAAGCGCGGGAGCAACCCGAAGGUUCAGCGAAAAGCGCGUAGCCACGGAGAAACGCGCCGAACAGGACUAACCGGACACUGCUGAUCCAAGGUAAGGUGAGCACUAUGAUCAAAACUGACUAGCGAUCACCGUGCUCACCUCCGGAGGCAUCGGAACAGCCUCGGAUCGCCGGAAAAGCACGCACAAACACAGAACAGCAGCCAAAAAGGCUCAACAGGUUCGACAUCGCCGAAACAGCGAAACGGGGCCUUCCCGACAGAAACCAAGGUGAGCACGAUGAUCAGCAACUUGCUACAACCACCAUGCUCCCUUCCGGAGAGAUCGGGGAGCCUCGGAUCGCUCAGAACAACAAACAACCCAUAAACAGCCCUAUUUCGGGCUUGGCCGGAGCAAGCUUGCUCCGGCCGGCUUCCGGCGGCACAGCGGCGCGUGCGGGGGCCAGGGAUGGGUGAGGAGGAGGGAAGGAGCAUGGUGCUCACCUCAGGUGGCGACUGGAAGCGGCGGCGGCAGCGGUGGAACAACCUAAACCCGCACGAGCUAGGGCACGGUUCCAAAGGUUGCUGCAGUCACGGCGGUGGCCGGGGCAGGUCGGGGGCAUCGGCGGCGGGUCCCCAGAGGCCAAAGGGGUUGCCACGAGGUGGCCCAAGAUGGCGGCGGCCGGGAGGAAAGGCCGCACACAGGCCUCGGCCUGGGCUAGGGCUGGGGCGGCCGCGCGCAGCAGGGCCAGCAGCGACGGCGCUCGGCGACGGCGGCGGUCGGCGGGGAGGCUCGCCGGGGGACAGGGGCAACACCGGCAAGGGCCUGGAGGCAAGGCAGCCUCGGCUUGGCUCCAACCCGAGAGAGGGAGAGAGAGAGAGAUGGAGAGAGAGGAAGAAGAUGGCUCCGGCGGCGGCUGGCCGGCCGGGGCUCAGUCGGCGGCGGCCUAGGCGUGCGCAGCAGGGCAGGGAAGAGGGAUGGAGGUGGCAGGGGGCCGGCUAGGGCAGCAGGGUUAGGGUUUCCAAGGUGAAACCCUAGAACGAGAAGGUGCAACUUUGCAAAUAAGUCCACCAAAACUUAGACUUUUGAACUAAGUCCUCCACAGCACGUGUAAAACACGUGGAUACCCCUCCACGUGCGAUCUCACGCGAAACGCUACAUAAAAUGUAGCGACUUUUGCGAAAUUACCGUUUUGCCUGUACCGACCUCUCCUCGGUCAACGCGCAAUCUCCGCAGAUCCGUCCGUUAGAUUUGCGAACGGAUCGCACUAGUGCAAUCAGCACGACGGAGACAACAAAGCUACGAUUUCGUUUCACCUCGAUCGACCACAGAUUCACGACAAAGUCCAAUCUUUCCCGCCAAUAGAGGAAACAACACGAAAAUACAUAUAAAACAUGUAUUUUUGGAUUUUCUCGAAAUCCGUGCGUCAAACUCAAAAUCCGUCAGCGCCACUAGUUCCAGAACAGCUGAACCGGUCGAAACGAGCUAUUGGACUGCUAUGAACGGAGUCCGAUACGAGCCAGAAGCCAACUUCCCACCGUGGCUUCUCCGGAAAAUCGAGUUACUAUUCACUUUAAGUGAACUUGGAAAUCGCGUAGAAUUUCUGUUUUAACUCAUUUUCACCCGAAAUGUAAGGACUGGGACUUUUGCAGUGUAGCUAAACUCUCAGUUGACGAUGUUUUUGUGUGUAAUUUAAUUACAAAAGCACUCGUCAAGUUUUGGGUGAAAACGAGUUAAAAUGAAAAUUCUACGCGAUUUCCAAGUUUCACUUAAAGUGAAUAGUAACUCGAUUUUUCGGAGAAGCCACGGUGGGAAGUUGGCUUCUGGCUCGUAUCGGACUCCGUUCAUAGCGGUCCAAUAGCUCGUUUCGACCGGUUCAGCUAUUCUGGAACUAGUGGCGCUGACGGAUUUUGAGUUUGACCNCGCACGGAUUUCGAGAAAAUCCAAAAAUACAUGUUUUAUAUGUAUUUGUGCGUAGUUCUUCUAUUGGAGAGUUGGAACGGUUCUCGUCGCGAAUCCGCGACCGAUAGAGAUGAACCAAAAUGGUAGCUUUUUUCUCCAUGGUGUUGAUCACACUGGUGCAAUCCGUUCGCAAAUCUGACGGACGGAUCUGCGGAGAUCGCACGUUGAUCGAGGAGAGGUCGGCGAUGGCAAAAUAGUAAUUUUGCAAAAGUCGCGACAUUUUAUGUAGCGUUUCGCAUGAGAUCGCACAUGGAGAGGUAUUCGCGUGUGUUACAUGUGCUGUGGAGGACUUAGUUCAUAAGUCUAAGUUUUGGCGGACUUAUUUGCAAAGUUGCACCUUUGUAUAUAAGCUUUAUCUAGGGUUUCACCGUGGAAACCCUAACCCUGGUGCCCUAGCCGCCCCCUGCCACCUCCAUCCCUCUUCCCUGCCCUGCUGCGCAUGCCCAGGUCGCCGCCUACUGAGCCCCGGCCAGCCAGCCGCCGCCGGAGCCAUCUUCUUCCUCUCUCUCUCUCUCUCUCUCCCUCUCUCGGGUUGGAGCCAGGCCGAGGCUGCCUUGCCUCCAGUGUCACGCCCCGAGCCCGCCUUUUUGGUCGGAUUCGAGCACGCCAACAGACCGCCGAACGGACAGGGUUUCCCCUGUACCGCGGACAGAGUCUCCCCUGUACGUUCAAGGCGUCGCAAUCAAUACAAUGUACGAAGUUCCAACUAGGAACACAUUUCAACCAAAGAUUGCAUAAGGAAGUAUCAAAAUAUAAAUCUACUUGCUAUUACAAGCAUUCAUCUCACAUAUUACAUUUUACAUUACAAAUUACAUUCGUUUACAUUCAACUUCCAAAUACAAUCCAAUUAUUAUAAAUUUACUACAAGUUUGAUACAUCUUGUUCUUUCAUUUUUCUCUACCCCUAGGCUAUGCCGACUUGGGGUACCACUAUCUCUGGUCUCGGUGGUAGGGCGCUAUCUAUGGAGCUACGCCCUUGCCUCGCGCCGCCGCGCCGCUCACGUGUGAACCUGUAACACCCCGAAACAACGUGGGGUGAGAACUAACUCCAUAGUUCCCAGUGGGUACGNGGGACGACGGCGACAGGUCCCCAACGGCCGGAGGAGGAGGAGGGAGGUGGCGGGCGACAGCGGCGGUGACCCGCGGCUCAGGUGUGGCCGCCCGAGCUUGGCUCGGUCAGCAGGCUGGGGCGGCGGCGCCCAAGGCACGCGGCGGCGGCGGCGACCCGCAGAGGCGGCGGCGGCCGGCCGGGGAGGGUCGCCAGGCUCCGGGGAAGGCUGCUGAAAGGGUCACAGGCGGCGGCGGUGCACGGGGAGGGAACUGGGGCUACCUCGGCCAAAGCUCGGCCAAGCGGGCUGCAAGGAGCAGCGGCGGCCGCGGCGGCGCGAGGAGGCGGCGGCGGUCGGCGGGGAGGCUCGCCGGGGGACAGGGGCAAUACCGGCAAGGGCCUGGAGGCAAGGCAGCCUCGGCCUUGCUCCAACCCGAGAGAGGGAGAGAGAAAGAUGGAGAGAGAGAAAGAAGAUGGCUCUGGCGACGGCUGGCCGGCCGGGGCUCAGUCGGAGGCAGCCUGGGCGUGCGCAGCAGGGCAGGGAAGAGGGAUGGAGGUGGCAGGGGGGCGGCUAGGGCAGCAGGGUUAGGGUUUCCAAGGUGAAACCCUAGAACAAGCUUAUAUACAAGGUGCAACUUUGCAAAUAAGUCCGCCAAAACUUAGACUUUUGAACUAAGUCCUCCACAGCACGUGUAAAACACGCGAAUACCCCUCCACGUGCGAUCUCACGCGAAACGCUACAUAAAAUGUCGCGACUUUUGCGAAAUUACCGUUUUGCCAUUACCGACCUCUCCUCGGUCAACGCGCAAUCUCUGCAGAUCCGUUCGUCAGAUUUGCGAACGAAUCGCACUAGUGCGAUCAGCACGACGGAGACAACAAAGCUACGAUUUUAUUUCACUUCGAUCGACCACGGAUUCACGACAAAGUCCAAACUUUCUCGCCAACAGAGGAAACAACACGAAAAUACAUAUAAAGCUUGGUAGAGGAUCAAUCUUCAGCCCUAGUGGAGUCUAGGUUUGGUUUGGAGCACCUUGUGGGUUCGUACUCUUGAUCUCUCUUUUGGAUCAAGUUUUGGAGGAUUUUUGUUAAAUGAAACCCUAGAAUGGAUAUUAGGGUUAGAAAUGAGGAUUUUGAUUAGUAGCUUAUGGAACCAAAUUGAUUGGUUUAGAACCUUGGUUUAGGUUGGAUUUGAAGGCCUCAACCUCUAUUUUGGAGAUCGAGAGAGGUUCCUUCGCAUUCGGUGAGUUUUUCACUUUUUCUUGAGUUAGUUAAAGAUCGAACUUAGUAUUGUUCGUAACGUUCGUGUAUCUCUCUUUUCUUUACCUUUAGGGUGCUAAUAGAGUAGCGGGUACCUUCGUCGACGCAAACGAAGGGCGGCCAAGAGUUUCGGUGGGUUUGACUUCAUGGAAUAGGGGAGAAAUGUCUCCUAUGUGAUUUAUCCUUGUCGUUUCAUCGAAAUGUAUGCAUAUUCAUGCUAUAUAGGAUUUUUAGAGUACUUAAAAUGCAUGUGUUAUGUAUCAUAAAAAUUUCACUCUAUAUAGUAGAGCCAUAUGUGUAGUAAGCAUGCAUGUGAAAAGUAUUCCUUAUUGCAAGUUGGAAACAUGUCACAAGUUGGAAACAUGUCUCGUGUGAUGAAAAUGAUUAGAAUUAUGUACUCUUGAACACAAAACUAAUGCUGGGACUUAGUGGACAAAAGUGCCAUAAAGGGGCACCCGAACUAGUAAACUGUGAAACUGCAACAUAGAGACAUAGUGAUAGGCCAUUAUGACAUCGACUAUAUUCCAUGCUUUAGACAUGAUGACAUAGUGAUAGGCCAUUGAGAUACUUGCUACAUUCCAUGUUUUAGACAUGAUGACAUAGUGAUAGGCCAUUGAGAUACUUGCUACAUUCUAUAUUUUAGACAUGAUGAAUUAGGACUUGAGAUGGACUUUUAAAUUUGCUUGCCAUUGUGCUCAUUCGCACAUGCUUGUGAGGGUCGCUUCCCACAACCCGGCACUCCGGAGAUAGCCAUCGCGACACAUGCUCGCUCGUGCGGGAUUGGGCGCCGAAAUGGGAUGACGUGGGGGAGGCUCAUUCCUAGAGUGGAGAUGUUGACUACCACGAGGCCAUUAGGCAUGGUGCAGGCCGGACUACCCACGGGUAGAUCCUACAUAAUUGGAACAUUGGUGACUUAGCAUACCGAGAGGACAUUGACUAGAAUAGUAAAUAAUGAUAUUUUACUAUUUAGCUUGUGGACAUUAUAUUAGUUAUACUCUUAUACCUUCAUAUUACAGUAGCUUUAUUACUUAUGCAAAUUCAUGCUAAGUAGAGAUAUCAUGUUAUAGCAAGCUUUCAUGUUAGUUGUUUAUGGCUCAUAUCAUACUUGUGCUUACCCUUUCAGCUUUCGGGCCUAGUGGUGCAUUUCACUAAAGUCAGUAAUUGUCCACUGGAAACUAUUAUUUAAUAGUUCUCACGCCAUCUGUUUUACAGUUUUCUUUCAGAACCUUCAGCACCGGUGGAGGUACGGGAUCGCGACAAGGGGGUCGCGUAGCUAGAGAGCGGAGCUUGCUUUUGCUCUUAGGUGGUUUACUCUCUUCUUAUUUGCUGUAGAGAGAGUGAGAGGUUUUGGUACCAUGUAUAGAGACCACCAUUGUAUUACUCUUAGCACUUAUAUGUGAAUUUCAGAUGUAUUACCCUAUGGUUUUAUUUUGGUGGAGUUUAGUCUCUUGUCUACUCUUUUGUUGUAGAAUCUAGUUGUACUUUGCUCUGAUACUCCUAAAUGUUAUUCUUCUAUUGCUUUAUUUAUCGUUUUAUUGUAGACGCCUUAUAUAUUUUAGACGUAUGGCGGGUCUGGGCACGCACCGGAAGGGCUUCCGCUGGGUCCCGGGGCGUGACACGGAUGCAACAAGGAAACCCAAGGGAUGCCAUGCAACUCGGCAAACAGCCGAUCUAUAAAUGAAUGUGAUGCACCGGUAUCAAAUAAUGUAUGAACUCGAAUGCCAUUUAAUAAAAUGAUACCUGCAACCACAUCCUCGGCUGCUGCCGCCUCCUCGGUGUGAGCGGCGUACAUGCGCCCACUUGGGGCCUGUCGAGAUCCCUCACUUUGACGCUGGAUGGAGGACCGUCCAGGCUGAUACUGUGCCGAUGGAGUUCCCUGGCUAGCGGCUGGUAGAGCCGGUGCCGAUGCAGUCGACGGUGCCGGUGACAAACCCCUCGGGCACUCGGUCCGGAAGUGGCCCUCCUGGCCACACAGGAAACACCUCCCUCCCCGCUGCGAGCACUGCGGUGGAAUAUAGGGACCACCACAGAUCACGCACUGGGGAGGUCGGUGUCGAUAAGAUCCUCCUCGCUGCGCUGCCGAGCCGCGCCCACGCUGCUGGCUCCUAGGGUGCUUCGGCGGUCUCCUAAAGUGGGUCUGACUCGCACCCUUAGCCGCGGGCCUUUUGCCCUUACCCUUGUCCAUGCCUUCUCUACGCUCUUGCACAUCUGCCGCGCCGCUCUCCACAAUGAGCGCGCGAUUCACCACCUCCCGGUAGGUUUGGAGGUUAGAGGAUUGCACGAACCGGAAGAUAGACGGUCGCAAUCCUCGCUCGAAGAUGCGGGCCUUAUCCUCGUCGUCCCGCACGACGAAAAGCACGUAAUGUAGAAACCGAGAAAACUCCCUCUAGAACUCGACUACAGUCCGGUCUCCCUGGCGCAAGUUGAGCAAGUCCUACUCCAUUUUCCUCUUGACGCUAAAAUAGUGCGCCAAUAGAAGCUCCUUGAACUUCUUCCAAGUGAUAGCUGCAAGAUUGGUAUUAGAAUUUUCCUGUAUGUCCAACCACCAACGGUAGGCCUCGCCGUCCAAGUGGUGUGUGGCGAGCCAAACUCGGUCCCUCUCCUCCACGAAGGUGUCGCGGAAGAGCUUCUCCAUGUGCAUCAACCACUUUUCGACGAUCCAGUGGUCGACCUUCUCACUGUCGAAGAUCCGAGGGCUGUACCUCCUGAACUCAUUGAGGCGCUCCAUAAGUCGGUCCCGCUCUACUCCCUCAACCAUUGUGGGAAAAACUGCCCCCGCCAAGGGCACCUGAACGGGUGGUGCCACAAAGUCCUCCUCCCGAGGCACGACCACGGGCGCCGCACGCGAAGAUCCGGGUGCGAGUGACGGCGCCCUCGGUGCGACGUCCCUAACAGGUGCAGGAGAUGAAGGAACCGGAGCCUCCCUGGAAGCUGUCUACUGUAGAAGAAGGUCCUCGAGCCGCUUCAUCCGCGCCUCCUGCCGGCGCACCGCAUCAGCCUGCUGCUGAGCCGCGGCUGUCUGCUGCGCCACCAAGUCGGUGAGGGUAGCAAGCUGGCUCCUCAACUCACGGACCUCGCUGGAUCCGGAGGUAGCGGAGGUCUCGACCUCCUCAAGGUGUGCCGCAUUAUCCGCUCCGGCAGAUUGAGAGCGUGUCAUCGGCAUCUCACUACAACAUUAUAAAAGCGCAAGUUAGUAAAACCCACGCUAUCGAAUUCCCGCUCAAGUAGAUAAUACCCAAAUCCUGCGAAAGUAAGGAAGUGUUCUUCACUACUAACUCUCGAUGUUACGUUGUCGGCCGCCAACGUAACCCUCCGCGAAGUUAGAAGCCAUACACUUUGAUUAAACUCCAACCUUUUAGAGUUAUAUUAAAACCUAAUCGUGAUACUUUCGCUUACAAGUCAAAUAGAUCUCGUCUCUCACGAGCCUAUUUCCUAUAGUCCAACCAGCCUAAGGUUUGCUAGGUCUACUAAGACUCAACCCUAGGCUCUGAUACCAAAUUAAUCUGUCAUGCCCCGGGACCCAGGGGAAGCCCGCCCGGUGUGUCCAGACCCGCCAUACGUCUAAAACAUAUAAGGUGUUUAGAAUAAAACGAUAAAUAGAGCAAUAGAAGAUGAACAUCUAGAAGUAUCAGAGCAAAGUACAACUAGAUUCUACAAUAGAGAAAUAAGCAAAAGGCUAAAAAUCCACUAAAUAAAACCAUAAAGUAGUACAUCUGAAAAUCCAAAUACAAGUGCUAAGAGUAAUAUAGUGGUGGUCUCUAUACAUAGGAACAAAACUCUCACUUACCAAAACACAAAAGGGAGUAAACCACCUAGGAGCAAAAGCAAGCUCCGCUAUCUAGCUACGCGACCCCUUUGCCGCGAUCCUAUGCCUCCACCGGUGCUGAAGGCUCUGAAAUAAAAACCAUAAAAUAGAGGGCGUGAGAACUAUUAAAUAAUAGUUCCCAAUGGGCAAUUACUGACUUCAGUGAAAUGCGUCACUAGGCCCAAAAGCUAAAAAGGGGUAAGUACAAGUAUGAAAAGAACCAUAAGCUACUAACUUGAAAGCUUACUAUAACAGGAUAUCUCUACUUAGCAUGAAUUUGCAUAAGUAAUAAAACUGCUGUAACAUGAAUGUCCAAGAGUACAACUAACAUAAUGUCCAUAAGCUAAAUAGUAAAAUGUCAUUGUUUACUAUUCUAGUCCAUUUUCACUCGGUACACUAAGUCACCAAUGCUCCAAUCCUGUAGGAUCUACCUGUGGGUAGUCCUGCCUACGCCGUGCCUAAUGGCCCCGUGGUAGUCAACAUUCCUACUCUAGGAAUAAGCCUCCCACGGCAUCCCAUUUCGACGCCCAAUCCCGCACGGGCGAGCAUGUGUCGCGAUGACUAUCUCCGGAGUGCCGGCUUGUGGGGAGCGACCCUCACAAGCAUGUGCGAAUGAGCACAAUGGGAAGCAAGCGUAAAAGUCCCUCUCAAGUCUCAAGUCAUCAUGUCUAAAACAUGGAAUAAAACAAGUGUCUCAAUGGCCUAUCACUACGUCAUCAUGUCUAAAAUAUGGAAUAUAGUCGAUGUCACAAUGACCUGUCACUAUGUCUCUAUGUUGCAGUUUCACAGUUUACUAAGUCGGUGCCCCUUUAUGGCACUUUUGUUCACUUUGUCCAAACAUGAGUUAGGAGUUCAAGAGUACACAAUUCUAGUUCUUUCCAUCAUAUAAGACAUAUUUCCAACUUGCAAUAUAGAAUACUUUUCACAUGCAUGCCUAAUACACAUAUGGCUCUACUAUAUAGAGUUGAAUUUUUACGAUACAUAACACAUGCAUUUUAAGUAUUCUAAAAUUCAUAAAAAUCCUAUCUAGUAUGAAUAUGCAUGCAUCUCGAUGAAACGACACGGAUAAAACACAUAGGGGAUAUUUCUCCCCUAUUUCAUGAAGUCAAACCCACCGAAACUCUUGGCUGCCCUNGACCGGUCCUUGCGGUGAGAGACCGGUCCCCGAAAGGCCAGAAUUCCAGACUUAGCCAAUUUUUCAGCAUUUUCAGCCUUUAUACUUUUUCACUCUGUUUUCGCUCGUUUUCGCUCGUUUGACCUCCGUUUCUUUUCAAAUCGAACCGAGACUCUCCAAACAUGUUUUCAAACAUGUUUUCAUCAUCUUUUCAUCCACGCUAAUGCCGAAUUUAGUCAACGGUCCAACAUAGCCUUCCGGGUUCCGUUCUCGCGCCCUAUGCGCACCGAAGCACCCGAAUGCUCCCGAACUUCGCCGGAAUGAUUCCAACGGCUUUCUAAGCUAACAUACAUCGUAACUUCAUGAAUUAGAAGUUCGGUAUAUUACAUCCAGGCCCUUGCCGGUGUUGCCCCUGUCCCCCGGCAACCACCCCCGCCGACCGCCGCCGUCGCCGAGUGCCGUCGAUGCUGGCCCUGCUGCGUGCGGCCGCCCCAGCCCUAGCCCAGGCCGAGGCCUGUGUGCGGCCUUUCCUCCGGGCCGCCGCCAUCUUGGGCCACCCCGUGGCAACCCCUCCGGCCUCUGGGGACCCGCCGCCGACGCUCCCGACCUGCCCCGGCCACCACCGUGUCUGCAGCAACCUUUGGAACCGUGCCCUAGCUCGUGCGGGUUUGGGUUGUUCCACCGCUGCCGCCGCCGCUUCCAGUCUCCACCUGAGGUGAGCACCAUGCUCCUUCCCUCCCCCGCACCCAUACCUGGCCCCCGCGCGGGCCGCCAUGCCGCCGGAAGCCGGCCGGAGCAAGCUUGCUCCGACCAAGCCCGAAAUAGGGCUGUUUGUGGGUUGUUUGUUGUUCUGAGCAAUCUGAGGCUCCCCGAUGUCUCCGGAAGGGAGCAUGGUGAUUGUAGCAAGUUGCUAAUCAUCGUGCUCACCUUGGUUUCUGUCGGGAAGGCCCCGUUUCGCUGUUUCGGCGAUGUCGACCCUGUUGAGCCUUUUUGGCUACUGUUCUGUGUUUGUGCGUGCUUUUUCGGCGAUCCGAGACUAUUCCGAUGCCUCCGGAGGUGAGCACGGUGAUCGAUGGUCAGUGCUGAUCACAGUGCUCACCUUACCUUGGAUCAGCAGUGUCCGGUUAGUCCUGUUCGGCGCGUUUCUCCGUGGCUGCGCGCUUUUUGCUGAACCUUCGGGUUGCUCCCGCGCUUUCCACAGUGAGCCGUUGUGCUCUGGAUCGUGAGCACGACCUCCGGUACGUCGAGACCAAGCUGUACGUGUCUCUGCGGAUCUUGGAAGUCAUCGGUUUGCGUGAACGAGCCACUUGAUCGCUCAAUUUACAUAAAAUGAUAGGAUUUUAUGUAAAUUGAGGGGCUUUUAUGCAUUUGUGCAUCAUGUGGUUACUGUGGGCAGUGCACGUGUGUGUGUGGUAACCUCUAGACUGAUUGUCCAUGAUCCGCUAACUCUCGCGGAAAUCGAAAAGUCAAUUUCGGUGCGUUUUUCGGCGAAAUUCGCCGAAAGAACGCGAUUUCGAUUCGGAUUUCUUCCGACGUCGUUUAGUUGCUUUGUUAGUUAUUGCUGAGCCUUGUUGGCUGGUCACCAUCAUCAUUUUGUGGGUUCGGUGAUGAUGGGUGAGCGACGGUGGGUUCNNNNNNNNNNNNNNNNNNNNNNNNNNNNNNNNNNNNNNNNNNNNNNNNNNNNNNNNNNNNNNNNNNNNNNNNNNNNNNNNNNNNNNNNNNNNNNNNNNNNNNNNNNNNNNNNNNNNNNNNNNNNNNNNNNNNNNNNNNNNNNNNNNNNNNNNNNNNNNNNNNNNNNNNNNNNNNNNNNNNNNNNNNNNNNNNNNNNNNNNNNNNNNNNNNNNNNNNNNNNNNNNNNNNNNNNNNNNNNNNNNNNNNNNNNNNNNNNNNNNNNNNNNNNNNNNNNNNNNNNNNNNNNNNNNNNNNNNNNNNNNNNNNNNNNNNNNNNNNNNNNNNNNNNNNNNNNNNNNNNNNNNNNNNNNNNNNNNNNNNNNNNNNNNNNNNNNNNNNNNNNNNNNNNNNNNNNNNNNNNNNNNNNNNNNNNNNNNNNNNNNNNNNNNNNNNNNNNNNNNNNNNNNNNNNNNNNNNNNNNNNNNNNNNNNNNNNNNNNNNNNNNNNNNNNNNNNNNNNNNNNNNNNNNNNNNNNNNNNNNNNNNNNNNNNNNNNNNNNNNNNNNNNNNNNNNNNNNNNNNNNNNNNNNNNNNNNNNNNNNNNNNNNNNNNNNNNNNNNNNNNNNNNNNNNNNNNNNNNNNNNNNNNNNNNNNNNNNNNNNNNNNNNNNNNNNNNNNNNNNNNNNNNNNNNNNNNNNNNNNNNNNNNNNNNNNNNNNNNNNNNNNNNNNNNNNNNNNNNNNNNNNNNNNNNNNNNNNNNNNNNNNNNNNNNNNNNNNNNNNNNNNNNNNNNNNNNNNNNNNNNNNNNNNNNNNNNNNNNNNNNNNNNNNNNNNNNNNNNNNNNNNNNNNNNNNNNNNNNNNNNNNNNNNNNNNNNNNNNNNNNNNNNNNNNNNNNNNNNNNNNNNNNNNNNNNNNNNNNNNNNNNNNNNNNNNNNNNNNNNNNNNNNNNNNNNNNNNNNNNNNNNNNNNNNNNNNNNNNNNNNNNNNNNNNNNNNNNNNNNNNNNNNNNNNNNNNNNNNNNNNNNNNNNNNNNNNNNNNNNNGGCACCGGCUUUAGCCGGAUUUCGUUUGAGCAUAUCAGCAUGAUUUAGUCACAGCACUGUGUAUUCUAGACACCAGGUUGGUUUGGCCACCAACAAGAGGUGCACGUAUCCGGAUAGGUCGUCGGUGACGCAUGAAUAAGCUCUCAGUAUCUGCUCUGUGACAGGCAACGCUUGAGGUCUGCAGACCAAUAUAGCAGCAUCAGAUUGGGUAUAUUUGGACUUAUCGUCUGGUUGACGCAUAUAAUUAUAGUAGUAGUUGUCGCUUGUAUAUCUUCAGUUCUUUCGUUACAUUGUCUUGCUACUAUAGUCUUGUUACAUGUAUACAUUCAGUUGUUCAUUACAGUAGCGGUAGUUGUACUUUUUUUCAUAUAUAUGUCUCUUUCAUUCAUUAUUAUUGCUACUGUAUUUUCUACUGACCCGUACUGUUGUUUAGCUCUUCCUGAUCCGGUGAGUACUCAUCGCCUUCAUCGGCUUGCGGUACCCACUGGGAUGGGAGACAUGUUUACGUGUUCUCACCUCCCCCACUAUUUUUCAGGUAUCGCGGGCGAUGAGGGUUGAGACGAGACAUGAGAUACGUACGUAGCAGUCGAUAGAGCUUUCGACCCAGGUUAUUCGGUUUAGUUUCUACCCUUACUAUCCUGUUGAUAUAGCUUAGAUAGUUCAUAUGGUUCAGUUUUUGGGUAUUUUAGUUAACUAUCAUAUUUUGAUUUGGUUUUAUGAAUGUAAUAAAAAGGAUUCGUGGUUUCCGUAAAUAAAAGGUUUUCUACCCCUCGUGGUAACGUUUUUAAAGAAUAAAGAUUUCCGUGUAGGAAACAGUUUUUAAAGGAUUUUCUGUGGAUUUAUGUUUAAAUAUUGAAUGUAUAACUGUGAUGUGAAUGGUGAAUGAAUGAUUGUAUAGUCGUUUCUAUAUUCAUUUGGUUGUGAUUGUAUCUGGGUUACUUCUUGUACUUGUGCGACGCCGUACAAAUACAGGGGAGACUCUGUCCGUGUGAACAAUGGAUUUUCUGUAUUUGUGGCAGAUCUGGCAUUCCCUGGGGUUAGGUUUUCAAAAAAAAAAAAAAAAAAAAAAAAUUCGCAGUGUUUUUAACCUAAAGGGACCCCGGGGAGUGACACGAAACUUGACGAGGGCUUUUGUAAUUAAAUUACACACAAAAAUAUCGUCAACUGAGAAUUUAGCUACACUGCAAAAGUCUAAGUCCUUACACAUGAGCUUACUUUCACAUGGAUAAGAGGUUUUCAUUUUCUUUCCACGCAUGAUCAUUGCCCUUCUAAUCCUUGCUUGUUUCUUUUCAUGUGAUCCAUGUAGCAGAUGUCCUUUAAAAUAUAAGUGGAAGGAGUUAUGCACUUACUAAGAAUAUAAAUACACACACACACACACACACACACACACACAUAUAUAUAUAUAUAUAUAUAUAUAUAUAUAUAUAUAUAUCGAAACCAAACUUAUUAUUGUAGUAUCUCAAACUUACUAAAGAAGUUUAUAACAUUCUUCAAGAGUAAGCUUAAGUUAACUUAGGUGAAAACUAUAAUACUGAUGAUUCAAAAAGUUAAAACAUGUGGGUAAGCAUCUCUAGGCAACUAUUUUAAAAUCUUUAAAUAAUUUAAAAAGCCUGAAUAUAUUUCUAUUAAUUUAUCUAAUGUGGUCUAAAAUAGCAGUUACAAUUAUAUGCAUUUUAUUUGAUUUGUUUCAUUGUCAUGCAAUUAAAAAGCAUAUUUGUAAAAUUUUAUUACGCCUACAACCUAUAAAUCAAAUAAAAGUUAACACAAUGGGCCCAAAAAGGGCCCAAUUCCAAUUAGUUAGAUAAGUUUGCUACAACUCUAGUGCCACGUGCACGUUUGUGAUCAAACUAAUCGGACAGCUAGAGACUCGUCCUUGCCCGCUGUAAAAUGGUCGAGCCCUUUGUAUAAUACUCGGAGUCCCCUCGCUCUUUUUCGCAUUCUCUCCGAAUCGAUCGAAAAAAAUCGCCCAAAUUUACCAAAAAAAUUCCCGAAAAUUAUCGUGAGUUUUCCGAAACCCCACCUAUCUCUCCCCAUCUGUCUCAAGCAUGAAAUCGUUUAUGAUAGAAGAAAAAUAUAGAGAAAUUAACUGGCAAGUAUUAUAUUGAAUCAUACCUUAAGAAAAUCCUGUCUUGGUUCUUUAUCUUCUCCAACCUCUAUAUAUAGUGGCCUCAAGAUUACUUGAAAAGCUGUAUUUGAUGCUAUGUACGAAAAACUAAGAUUAAUUUUAGCAACCCAUUCACUCUAUGAUUUUUUUUUUUUUUAAAAGAAAACUUGAACGGCUAUGGACAAACUUUAGCAUUCAGGAAGCUAGAUAGAGCACAAAUGAAGACUCAUUGCAUUCAAUCAUUGAGAACUUGAAUCUGAUUAGAAAAUAGGAAGUUUUUAGGAAAUGAAAAAAGGAUUUAAUGAGAUAAUAUUAACAUAAAAUAAUAACCUUUGAAAUUUAAAAAAAAAUAUUUAAUUUUAGUAUUUCAUAGUAAUAUUAUCUGGUCCCCACAUGUUAUGAAAUCUCAUGAGAAAACUUUUCCAUGAUCUACAUAAUAUAGAAAACUCGCCGCUUGCCGCUUGUGCCCGCGCUCGGUGUGACGCCCCAGCUUCCCAGGGGGUCACCCAUCCUAGGACUACUCUCGUCCAAGAACGCUUAACUCUCUUAACCUCUUGGGUCUAGCCACCACCCAAAAUGCUUAAGCCGGGUUAAGAGUUUAGCCCUAUUAUAUCUUAUAUAUAGGANNNNNNNNNNNNNNNNNNNNNNNNNNNNNNNNNNNNNNNNNNNNNNNNNNNNNNNNNNNNNNNNNNNNNNNNNNNNNNNNNNNNNNNNNNNNNNNNNNNNNNNNNNNNNNNNNNNNNNNNNNNNNNNNNNNNNNNNNNNNNNNNNNNNNNNNNNNNNNNNNNNNNNNNNNNNNNNNNNNNNNNNNNNNNNNNNNNNNNNNNNNNNNNNNNNNNNNNNNNNNNNNNNNNNNNNNNNNNNNNNNNNNNNNNNNNNNNNNNNNNNNNNNNNNNNNNNNNNNNNNNNNNNNNNNNNNNNNNNNNNNNNNNNNNNNNNNNNNNNNNNNNNNNNNNNNNNNNNNNNNNNNNNNNNNNNNNNNNNNNNNNNNNNNNNNNNNNNNNNNNNNNNNNNNNNNNNNNNNNNNNNNNNNNNNNNNNNNNNNNNNNNNNNNNNNNNNNNNNNNNNNNNNNNNNNNNNNNNNNNNNNNNNNNNNNNNNNNNNNNNNNNNNNNNNNNNNNNNNNNNNNNNNNNNNNNNNNNNNNNNNNNNNNNNNNNNNNNNNNNNNNNNNNNNNNNNNNNNNNNNNNNNNNNNNNNNNNNNNNNNNNNNNNNNNNNNNNNNNNNNNNNNNNNNNNNNNNNNNNNNNNNNNNNNNNNNNNNNNNNNNNNNNNNNNNNNNNNNNNNNNNNNNNNNNNNNNNNNNNNNNNNNNNNNNNNNNNNNNNNNNNNNNNNNNNNNNNNNNNNNNNNNNNNNNNNNNNNNNNNNNNNNNNNNNNNNNNNNNNNNNNNNNNNNNNNNNNNNNNNNNNNNNNNNNNNNNNNNNNNNNNNNNNNNNNNNNNNNNNNNNNNNNNNNNNNNNNNNNNNNNNNNNNNNNNNNNNNNNNNNNNNNNNNNNNNNNNNNNNNNNNNNNNNNNNNNNNNNNNNNNNNNNNNNNNNNNNNNNNNNNNNNNNNNNNNNNNNNNNNNNNNNNNNNNNNNNNNNNNNNNNNNNNNNNNNNNNNNNNNNNNNNNNNNNNNNNNNNNNNNNNNNNNNNNNNNNNNNNNNNNNNNNNNNNNNNNNNNNNNNNNNNNNNNNNNNNNNNNNNNNNNNNNNNNNNNNNNNNNNNNNNNNNNNNNNNNNNNNNNNNNNNNNAAAAAAAAAAAAAAAAAAAAAAAAACCGAGAAAGGGUUAGGGUUAGGGUUAAGGGUAGGGGAUGGUGGUGGUGGUGGUGGUGGUGGUGGAUCUGGGGGAGUUCACGGAGGAGGGCUUCUACCCGAAACGAUGGAUCAAUGCCGCGCUGGAGGGCCGGCUCCCACAGGACCCGCUGGACCGCUUCAUGGGCGACGCCGAGGAGAGCCUCCGCUCCGCCGCCGACGGCAUCGCCGACGCCCUCCGCCGCGUCCCCCUCGCCUGCCACGACCUCCUCCGCCUCCGCGACGACGCCGUCGCCUCCGCCGUCGCAUCCAUCCUCAGCUCCCUCAGAGAGGUUCGUCUCGAUCUCUGCCACCAAAUGCAGAUUCUAAGACUUUACAGACGGAAAUGAUCCGAUCCAGUGUUCUAAUUCUAAGAUUUGUGUUGUGUUUUGUAGCUUGAUUAGAUUUUUUUUAUUGUUUUAAUUUUGGUGUUAGUUGGAUUUUUUUUGAAUUGUUAAUAUAUUUUUUGGAUUUUUUGGGGGCAUAUUUUGUAGUUUGAUUUGGGUUUUUUUGUUGGUUUAAUUUUGGAUUUAGUGGGUUUUUGGAUUGUUAUCUUGAAAUACGGUACCGUUAUUCACUAUCCUUUUUUUUUUUUGGAUUAUUAGGGGGCAUUUUUCCUUGUUAUUUGGGUUUAUCUUCUGUAGUAUGAUUUGGUUUUUAUUGUUGUUCUAAUUUGAGUGUUCGUUGGAUGUUAGAUUCUUAAUAUCUUUUUGUGUGUUUUUAGUGGUAUUUUUUUUGUACUUUGAAUUUAGGGUUAUUUUUUUUGUUUUAAUUUUGGUGUUAGUUGGAUUUUUGGAUUGGUAAUCUUUAUUUUUUUGGGUUAGUUUAGGGGCACUUUUUGUAGUUUGAUAUGGGUUUUUGGUUGUUUUUUUUUCAUGGAUUUUUAGGGGGCAUUUUUUGUAAUUUGAUUUGGGUGGGUUUUUUGUUGUUUAAAUUUUGGUUUUAGUUGUUUUUGGAUUUGUUUAUUACUUUAGGGGGGGUACUUUUUAUGAUUUGAUUUUGGUUUUUUUUUUUCAAUUUAGGUGUUCUCGGCAUUGUAGAUUUUUUUUUCUUUUUCUUUGGGUUUUUUGUUGGCCUUUUUGCAUAAAAAAUCCACUUAUUUUUGACUUUUGCAAAAUCGGGUCAUCUUUUUUGUUUUUGCCGAUUCGGUCCGCUUUUUCACAAACUGACCAAAAUACCCUUAUUACUUUUUCUCUUUCCACUUUCUCUCUCCUCUUCGUUCUCCCCCGCACCCCCACAUCCCAAUCCCAAUCCAAAUCCCAAUCCCAACCCUACUCCAUCUUCCACAACUGCUCCGCAAACUUCACGGUGAACAACGCCUUCCAGUCGAACCUCAAGCAGCUGCUGUCCACCCUCCCCGCCGCAACCGCGCCGUCCGGCUUCUACAACACCACAGUCGGCCAAAACGGCGGCGGCGAUGGCGAAGUCUACGGCCUCGCCUUAUGCCGCGGCGACGUCUCCUCCCCCGACUGCAACACUUGUUUGAAUUCCGCCGCGGAAUACGCCGUCGCGGAGUGCCCGCGCAGCGCGUCGAACACCGUGUGGAACGACACCUGCAUGCUGCGCUACUCCAACAGCAGCUUCUUCGGCGUCGUCGACUGGGCCCAGGACUUCGCGUGGAACCUGAACAACGUCACGGAUGUGAAGCUGUUCGACACCCGGCUCUUUUCGCUGAUGAAUAACUUGACCAGAGAAGCGGCCUACGGGUCGGGGCGGCCGCCGCUGUUCGCGACGGGGCAGGUCGAGUACAUCAACUUCACAAACAUAUACGGGCUGGUGCAGUGCACGAGGGAUCUGUCGCCGGCCGACUGCGACGGGUGCUUGACGAACUGCGUCAAGAGCAUCCCGAAUUGCUGCGAGAAUCGGAUCGGCGGCAGGGUUUUCGGAAAUAACUGCAACAUCCGGUUCGAGUCGGCUCCGUUUUAUAAUUCGUCGGCCAUCGGGAGCACUCCGGCGACGCCGCCACCGCCGCCUCCGCCGGCAGGGUCGGACCGAAGUGGAGGUAAGUCCAAGUCUUUUUCCCGCGUUAAUUUUUUCCGUAGGGAUUUGCUGCAGGAAGGCAUGCAGCUGAAAAUACUACAAAAUAUUAACGUUUAGGAAUAUUUUUUCUUAAUAUUCAUUAUUCAACAAUAUUUAAAAACGUCCGAAUAUACUUUAUCGACAUACAUUUGAAAUUGUCAGUUACAGUGUCCGCAAAUGAAGAAUCGUUACGUAUAUAUCGACGUUUAUGCCAAGCGUUUGUAAAAUAUAUUCCGACGCUUUUAAACAUCAAGAUUUUUUAAAAUUAUGAUGCUUUAAAAAAUCAAAAAAUUAAAAAUAAUAUUAACUUUUAUUAUUUAAUAACUUGUUUGGAUAUAAUAGGGGUUCAUAUAACCGUGCUUUUUGAAAUGUCAAUAUUAGCAUCCGUUUGUUUCACCGAAAGUGAAAUUUAAAUUGAAAUAGAUUUUUAGAUGAACUAAAUUUUGGACAAAAAUAAUUAUUAUUUUUUGUUAGUUAUUUGUACAACUGUGAAAGCUAAAGUUUUUCUAAUUUUUCUGUUAAUUAGUUGUUUGAUAAAAAAUGAUGGAUAAAAUUAGAGAGUGCGUGUGAUAGAUUAAUUAAUAUCCUAUUAUUUUUUUUAUCUAGAUGAGUCGAAAUUAAUUAUGAUAUUUAAUUUGUAAAUUUUAAGUUUUUGAAUAUUAAUAUAGUUACAGUAAAUCAAACAACCAAAAUAAGUAUUACUAUACAAAACUAGCUUGUUGAUCUCUUUUUACUCCGGUAAAACAAACACACCUGUAACAUCACAUCAACUCACGUGCGGUGACUAAGUUCCACAUUUUAGUUGCCCUCGUGUUACGUUUGAGAUCAAUGUUACGUCUAGGACUAGUCCACGAACACCAUCGCGUUGUUGCUUAGCAAAGCAGGAAAAACUCCGAACAUCACUACUCCUGUCACUAUAACAAAAACGGUCUAUAACAACACUUUUAAAUAUAGGUACAUAUCAAAAAAGUACUGCUUGCUAAAAUUACCGAUAUUUUUAAAAAGUGUUGCUAUAUAUGGGGUCGCUAGGUAUAUAGUGACAGUUAAAGAGUGUCGCUAUAAUAUAAAAGAGCGCUACUAAUUUACUAACACUUAUUUAAGCAUUUAGCAACUGCCGAAACUUUAUCUCGUUGGCUGCGGUGGCGGAGGAAGACGACAGGAAAGACUUUUCGUCUAGAAUUUCAGUGGAUUGAGUGAAGAGUGAAGAGAGAAGAAAAGAUGGUAAUUGAUUUUUCUUUUUUUUUUUCUUUUCUAUAUAUAAUCGGGCCAAAUGGACUGGGUGUGGUGGGUUGAGUAGAAUAAUAUUUUAUUUUUGGUUGGAUUGAGCUUUAUAUUUAGGCAUUAGUAGAUAUUUUUUUAAGUUUUAGAAUAAAUGGGACACUUACUCAAAAGUGUUCCAAACAUGUGUCCCUAUAACCUAAUUCUGUUGUAGUGUGUGAUUUUAUAUUUUUUUGAAUUUAGUAUUCUAUAAUUUAAAAUAUAUCAAUUUAUUACUACAUAGUUUUAUUUUUAAUUUUUUAUUAUAGAUUUUGUUUAAUUUUUUUGUUAAAUAGUGACAAAGUUAAAACUAAAGAUUACUAAAGUAAAUAUUCGAUAAAUCUAGGUGAAGUAUCUAAAUUUUUUUGUAUAUAAUUUAAUAAAAUAUUAACGNUUGCUGAAAAAGCGGACCGAAUCUGCAAAAACGAAAAAGGUGACCCGGUUUUGCAAAAGCCCAAAAUAAGUGAAUUUUUUAUGCAAAAAGGCC
This 56469-nucleotide long non-coding RNA is filed under the name Ananas comosus (pineapple). RNAcentral describes it as "long non-coding RNA (ACOM_LNC021142)". Lineage: Eukaryota; Viridiplantae; Streptophyta; Magnoliopsida; Poales; Bromeliaceae. The record is from RNAcentral.